Molecule: long non-coding RNA, 64989 nt
Filed under: Triticum aestivum (bread wheat)
Lineage: Eukaryota; Viridiplantae; Streptophyta; Magnoliopsida; Poales; Poaceae
Description: long non-coding RNA (TAES_LNC024985)
Source: RNAcentral
CGUUGUGAUCCUUGCUCUGAUAUGCUGUUCCCUGUCAUGCUCGGCGGCGGCAAGAGGUAACCAAUGACUACUAGCUAGUAAACCCACGUCGGCACAUCAUAUGUGUACAGUGGCGGAGCUAGAUGCAGAUUACGCCUGGGGCUGUGCUACUCCUCUAGUCCUCGCUUGUGUUUAUUUUCUCAAGUUGGAAGCGAGUUCACAGCCACACGCCAUGCAAAAUUCUUGAUUGUAGGUGGGACGUUGCUACCCCAUAUGAUUUUCCAACAGGUCCUACGACCAUCAGGCGCCGAACUAGUUGCAACCGAAGUCAUUCUGUAGGUUUCUUCAAAAGCCAUGUUGUAAGCAGAUUUCACAGAGAAGACUCCCAAUCUUCCGGGUCCCCAUGCAAGCACAUCAUCUCCAAGUCUUGGCGAGGCUCUAAUUUUUAGGAUCUCUGUAACAUCACAUGGCAAGAAAAUAGACUGCAACAAAUUUACAUUCCAUGAACCAUUGUUGUUGAGCAGCUGGGAGACAAAGCGGAACCGACACGUGCCCUGUGGCGAGAUAGGUUUAUAUGAGAAAGGCCUUGGAAUCCAAUUGUCUCGCCAGAUUCUUAUCUGCUGGCCAUUGCCAACUCUCCAGAUUAGCCCCUUCUUCAAAAGAUCCAAGCCAUGAGAAAUCGCCGUCCACGUGGACGAGGCGUUACCUGCGAACACAGUGUCCUCUAGCUUCCCAUUUGGAUAAUACCGAGCUUUAAGAAGUUGAGCAUAUAGGCUAUCCGGUUUUGUCAAUAGUCUCCAUGCCUGGCGCGCGAGUAGUGCUUGAUUGAAUAUCCGAAAGUCCUGAAACCCAGCUCCGCCUUUACAUUUUGGUUGCUAGAGUUUUUGCCAAGCCUUCCAAUGAACCUUUCGUUUUCCUUCCCUCGAGCCCCAAUAGAAGUUCCGCAUCAUGUUUGUUAAAUCAUCCCACACAGAAAAAGGCAGUUUAAAAACACCCAUAAUAUAUGUAGGAAGUGCUUGCGCCACUGAUUUAAUAAGAACUUCCCUGCCUGGCUGAGCAAGAUGGCCAUCACCCCAUUGGACAAGUCUUUUCAAGAGUUGUGCUUGUAAAUUUUGAAACUUGCCUUUGGACAUGCGACCAUUGGGUGUUGGAAGACUCAAGUAUUUCUCCUCGAAACCAACAUUCCGAAUAUUCAGAGUAUCUCUCACCUCCUCCUCAAGAUUGGUAGGGCAUGCUUCACCGAACAUGAUUGAACACUUAUUAUAAUUUAGAAACUGGCCUGUAGCUCUAGCAUAAAGGUCAAGACAAGACUUAAUUCUUUCCUCUUGUAGACGAUUUGCUUCAAAAAACAAUAGUGUAUCAUCUGCGAACAAAAGAUGAGAGAUUCCCGGAGCCCUACGACAAAUUUUCACUGGCAAAACAAUUCCAGAGUUCACCCUAUUUCUGAGAAUAGAAGAUAGACCAUCCGCGACGAACAGAAAUAAGAACAGGGAGAGUGGAUCACCUUGCCGAAGCCCACGCGACGGUGCAAAUGAAUCCAAGGAGGAUCCAUUUAAUUUUAUAGUAUAUCUCACCGAUAUGACACAGGUCAUAAUCCAGUCAAUCCAUCGAUGUGAAAACCCCAUCUUUUGCAUCACUUGCCUGAAGAAAUUCCAAUCAACCCGAUCAUAUGCCUUUGAUAGAUCCACUUUGUAAGCACAAAAUCCCUUAGUAGGAUCCUUCUCCUGUUUAAUAUGGUGGAUGCACUCAAAUGCAAUCAGGGCAUUGUCAGUUAUCAUCCUACCAGAUAUAAAGGCACUCUGCUCAGGAGAAAUUAUAUCGUCCAGGAGAGGACGCAAUCUAUUAACCAAACAUUUGGAAACAAUCUUGUAAAUAACAUUGCAUAGGCUAAUAGGCCGGAAAUCGUAGACCUUGACUGGAUUCGCAAUUUUCGGAAUAAGAAUGAUAGAUGUCUCAUUAACACCAUCCGGCAUAAUACCAGUUCUGAAAAACUCCUUCACUGCUUUAAUUAUAUUAGUCUUCACCACACCCCAAUUCCUCUGAAAGAAUCUUGCUGGAAAACCAUCUGGCGCAUGGGCUUUUAUAGGCCCAAUUUGAAAAAGAGCAUCCGAAAUUUCCUCAUCCAAAAAUUCGCUACAAAGUUUAACAUUAUCAUCAUCUGAAACAACUAAAUUAGAAAGAUCCAAAACCUCCGUGGCAUCAAGGGUUGCGUCAGCAGCAAAGAUGUCAUGAAAAUAAGACGAGACUACAUCACCCAUGGCUUGAGCAUCUUUGUGUACAGUACCAUUAGCAUCAUGUAUCUCAGUGAUUUUAUUUUUUCUUGCUCUCCAAACCGCCUUACUCUGGAAGAACUUCGUGUUUCUAUCACCUUCUUUCAACCAAGUGAUCCUUGAUCGUUGUAACCAAAUAAUCUCCUCCUUGUACAGUAAUUCAUUGAGUUUAUCCGAAACCUCUUGGAUUUCUGCACUAUCUGCAUUCAUAUUCAUUAGUUCCUCUAGCCGGGUUCUUGUUUUAUUAAUGUCCCUUGUGAUAUUACCAAACAUUUUACUGCUCCACUUCCGAAGGGACACCAUAGUGUCUCUCAAAGCUUUAUUGACAUGGCCUAGAUCAUCCAUCACAGCAUAGGCCUCCCAAGCCUUGCGGACUAAUUCUGGUAGCCCGACGUCUCUUUCCCAAAAUAUCUCAUACCUGCGUGGAUGCACAUUACGUUGUUCCUGGUCCGGGGCACCCUUGAGCAAUAACAGCACAUGAUCAGAACAUGGAGACGCAAGGUGCUGCACACUGUAAAAAGCGAACAGGUUCCGCCAAGAAUUUGUAGCCACCGCUCGAUCUAAACAGACUCGCACGUUUGCUGCACCAGACCUCAUAUUGUCGUAGGUAUAGGGCACACCUGAAAAACCCAGGUCCACUAAAUCACAAAGCAUCAAAGUAUCUCGGAAAGCUGCCAUUUGUGGUUCAGGGCGGGUUGUAAGGGACAUAUGUUCAAAACUCCACAACGCCUCAUUAAAAUCUCCGAUUACUAGCCAGGGUAAAUUAGAUUGUGCACUCAAGUCUUGUAAGGUAGACCACAUAAGAUGUCUAUUCUCCACCCUAGGCUCUCCAUACACCCCGGUCAAUCUCCAUGGCUCACCGUUCGGUUCAGUUAUGACAGAAACAUCAAUGUACCGUUCAUCCUUCCCCAGCAAAGUAACUUGAUAUGAUUCAUGCCAGUAUAACGCCAAACCACCACUCAUGCCCGAGCUAUCCACACCUUCAAAACCCUUAAGGCCGAGACGACCCCUAUAUCUCCUCAUCUUACUAGCUUUCUAUCGAGUUUCACACAAAAACACAAAUUUGGGGGAAUGCGACUGCACCAUCGUCGCCAAAUCUCGAACUGUCCGGGAAUUCCCCCCUCCCCGGCAGUUCCAAAUCAGGGCAUUCAUUGUCCUGGGUGGCGCCCCUCUAGGGAGCCCGCCAAAACAUCAUUAUCGUUGCUAAUAACAGAUCCAUCCUCUCCCUUUACCUUCUUCCUCACAUUUUCUUUGGGUGUAUUAACAGCAGCCGGAUCUGAUAUUACAGUCUCUGGAUCCUCAACAAUCUCGUCGCUGUCCAAGGCAUCCCUGGAGCCUCCUUGGUGUACUGGAACAAUAGCCAAACUCGUACCCAAGUCACCAGGGGCACUUACUAUAUCAUCCGGUCCUCUCUUCCCAUGCAUAUUUAGCAAAUUACUUCUCACGUCUUGGCUUGAUAGAAUAGUAUUUGUUGCACCUGGAUCCUCAAUCUCCAUCGCUGUCUUACCCAUAGAUCUUGUGUUUAACACACUGUUAUACCUCCAGUUAUUCACAGGGAUCCCAUCCGAAUUAGUUGCAUCGUUGGGCGGCGCACCUCUGCCAACACCCCGACCGAACACUGCUCCACCUCUGCCUCUUCCACCCCCUCUACCUGAUCCACGACCACCUCCUCCUCCUCGCCAUUCAUCUGCCAGUAUGAAAUCACCCCAUUCAAACUUAGACACAUCAUGCUCACCGGUGCCACACUCCUCAUACCAGUGGCCCAACAAACCACAAUUGUUACAGAAAAUUGGAAGUUUCUCAUAUUUAACCAUAUACCAGUCCUUCUUUCCCCCCCGUGUGAUGGAGACAAAGCGCUCAAGCUUUUUGCUGACAUCAAGAUUAGCUCUAACACGGACAAAAGCACCAACAUAUCCAGCCGACAACUGAAUUUGCACCUCAAGGAUCUUCCCCAAUUUCCUGCACAUACCUUUGAUCACCGGCUCAUUCAAGUAAUUGUCCGGUAGACCAAAAAUUCUAGCCCACACAGCUACUUUAUCCAGGACUAUCGUUCUAGGAUUUGUAUAGCCGUCAUACUCCAAUAGAAUUACUGCUUGAUUCCUGAAUAACCAAGGUCCCUGAGCCAUCGCCAUGUUCCAAUUGUUGGAAAUAUGCCCCAGAGGCAAUAAUAAAUUGAUUAUUAUUAUAUUUCCUUGUUCAUGAUAAUCGUUUAUUAUCCAUGCUAGAAUUGUAUUGAAAGGAAACUCAGAUACAUGUGUGGAUACAUAGACAACACCAUGUCCCUAGUAAGCCUCUAGUUGACUAGCUCGUUGAUCAAUAGAUGGUUACGGUUUCCUGACCAUGGACAUUGGAUGUCAUUGAUAACGGGAUCACAUCAUUAGGAGAAUGAUGUGAUGGACAAGACCCAAUCCUAAGCAUAGCACUAGAUCGUGUAGUUCGUAUGCUAAAGCUUUUCUAAUGUCAAGUAUCAUUUCCUUAGACCAUGAGAUUGUGCAACUCCCGGAUACCGUAGGAAUACUUUGGGUGUGCCAAACGUCACAACGUAACUGGGUGGCUAUAAAGGUACACUACGGGUAUCUCCGAAAGUGUCGUUGGGUUGGCACGAAUCGAGACUGGGAUUUGUCACUCCGUGUAAACGGAGAGGUAUCUCUGGGCCGACUUGGUAGGACAUCAUCAUAAUGUGCACAAUGUGAUCAAGGAGUUGAUCACGGGAUGAUGUGUUAUGGAACGAGUAAAGAGACUUGCCGGUAACGAGAUUGAACAAGGUAUCGGGAUACGACGAUCGAAUCUCGGGCAAGUAUCGUACCGCUAGACAAAGGGAAUUGUAUACGGGAUUGAUUGAGUCCUUGACAUCGUGGUUCAUCCGAUGAGAUCAUCGUGGAACAUGUGGGAGCCAACAUGGGUAUCCAGAUGCCGCUGUUGGUUAUUGACCGGAGAACGUCUCGGUCAUGUCUGCAUGUCUCCCGAACCCGUAGGGUCUACACACUUAAGGUUCGGUGACGCUAGGGUUAUAAAGGAAGUUUAUAUGUGGUUACCGAAUGUUGUUUGGAGUCCCGGAUGAGAUCCCGGACGUCACGAGGAGUUCCAGAAUGGUCCGGAGGUAAAGAUUGAUAUAUUGGACAAAGGGUUUUGGAGUCCGGGAGUGUUCCGGAGGUACCGGGUGAUGACCAGCAUGACCGAAAGGUGUUUCGGGAGCCCCGGCAAGUGUUGGGGGGCUUCAUGGGCCAAGGGAAGGGGGCAAACCAGCCCACUAAAGGGCUGUGCGCCCCCCUCACCUAACCCCUCGUGACCAGGGGGUUUGGGGCGCCCCAUCUAGGGUUCCCACCUCCUGGCUUGGGGGCCAAGUCACCCAAGGGGGAGAUCCCAUCUGCCCUGGCCGCCGCCCCCCCUAGGGGAAACCCUAGGGCACCUCCCCCUCCCCCUUGCCCCUAUAUAUAGUGGAGGUUUUGGGGCUGCACAUGACACGAGAUGAGUUCCUCUCCCCAUUGGUGCAGCCCUACCUCUCUUUCUCCUCGUCUCCCGUGGUGCUUGGCGAAGCCCUGCAGGAUUGCCACGCUCCUCCACCACCACCACGCCGUUGUGCUGCUGCUGGAUGGAGUCUUCCUCAACCUCUCCCUCUCUCCUUGCUGGAUCAAGGCAUGGGAGACGUCACCGGGCUGUACGUGUGUUGAACGCGGAGGUGCCGUGCGUUCGGCACUAGGAUCUCCGGUGAUUUGGAUCACGACGAGUACGACUCCAUCAACCCCGUUCUCUUGAACGCUUCCGCUUAGCGAUCUACAAGGGUAUGUAGAUGCACUCUCCUUCCCCUCGUUGCUGGUCUCUCCAUAGAUAGAGCUUGGUGAUACGUAGGAAAAUUUUGAAUUAUUGCUACGUUCCCCAACAGUGGUAUCAUGAGCUAGGUCUAUUGCGUAGAUUCUAUGCACGAGUAGAACACAAAAUAGUUGUGGGCGUCGAUUUUGUUCAAUAUGCUUACCGUUACUAGUCUAAUCUUGAUUCGGCGGCAUUGUGGGAUGAAGCGGCCCGGACCAACCUUACACGUACGCUUACGUGAGACCGGUUCCACCGACAAACAUGCACUAGUUGCAUAAGGUGGCUGGCGGGUGUCUGUCUCUCCCACUUUAGUCGGAUCGGAUUCGAUGAAAAGGGUCCUUAUGAAGGGUAAAUAGCAAUUGGCAUAUCACGUUGUGGUCUUUGCGUAGGUAAGAAACGUUCUUGCUAGAAACCCAUAGCAGCCACGUAAAACAUACAAACAACAAUUAGAGGACGUCUAACUUGUUUUUGCAGGGUAUGCUAUGUGAUGUGAUAUGGCCAAAGGAUGUGAUGAAUGAUAUAUGUGAUGUAUGAGAUGAUCAUGUUCUUGUAAUAGGAAUCACGACUUGCAUGUCGGUGAGUAUGACAACCGGCAGGAGCCAUAGGAGUUGUCUUAAUUUAUUUAUGACCUGCGUGUCAACAUAAACGUCAUGUAAUUACUUUACUUUAUUGCUAACCGUUAGCCAUAGUAGUAGAAGUAAUAGUUGGCGAGACAACUUCAUGAAGACACGAUGAUGGAGAUCAUGAUGAUGGAGAUCAUGGUGUCAUGUCGGUGACGAUGAUGAUCAUGGAGCCCUGAAGAUGGAGAUCAAAAGGAGCAAAGUGAUGAUGGCCAUAUCAUGUCACUAUUUGAUUGCAUGUGAUGUUUAUCAUGUUUAUACAUCUUAUUUGCUUAGGACGACGGUAGUAAAUAAGAUGAUCCCUCAUUAAAAUUUUAAGAAAGUGUUCCCCCUAACUGUGCACCGUUGCGACAGUUCGUUGUUUCAAUGCACCACGUGAUGAUCGGGUGUUUGAUUCAAACGUUCACAUACAACGGGUGUAAGACAGAUUUACACAUGCAAACACUUAGGUUGACUUGACGAGCCUAGCAUGUACAGACAUGGCCUCGGAACACAGAAGACCGAAAGGUCGAGCAUGAGUCGUAUGGUAAAUAUGAUCAACCUGAAGAUGUUCACCGACGUUGACUAGUCCGUCUCACGUGAUGAUCGGACACGGCCUAGUUGACUCGGAUCAUGUAAUCACUUAGAUGACUAGAGGGAUGUCUGUCUGAGUGGGAGUUCAUAAGAUGAACUUAAUUAUCCUGAACAUAGUCAAAAGGUAUUCGCAAAUUAUGUCGUAGCUCGCGCUUCAGUUCUACUGUUUAGUUAUGUUCCUAGAGAAAAUUUAGUUGAAAGUUGAUAGUAGCAAUUAUGUGGACUAGGUCCGUAAACUGAGGAUUGUCCUCAUUGCUUCAUAGAAGGCUUAUGUCCUUAAUGCACCGCUCAGUGUGCUGAACCUCGAACGUCGUCUGUGGAUGUUGCGAACAUCUGGCAUACACGUUUUGAUAACUACAUGAUAGUUCAGUUAAACGGUUUAGAGUUGAGGCACCAAAGACGUUUUGAAAUGUCGCGAAACAUAUGAUAUGUUUCGAGGGCUGAAAUUGGGAUUUCAGGCUCGUGCCCACGUCAAGAGGUAUGAGACCUCCGACGAUUUUCUUAACCUGCAAACUAAGGGAGAAAAGCUCAAUUGUUGAGCUUGUGCUCAGAUUGUCUGAGUACAACAAUCAUUUGAAUCGAGUGGGAGUUGAUCUUCCAGAUGAGACAGUGAUGGUUCUCCGAAGUCAUUACCACCAAGCUGCUAGAGCUUCGUGAUGAACUAUAAUAUAUCGGGGACAUAUAUGAUGAUCCUUGAGAUAUUCGCGAUGUUUGACACCACAAAAGUAGAAAUCAAGAAGGAGCAUCAAUUGUUGAUGGUUGGUGAAAACACUAGUUUCAAGAAGGGCAAGGGAAAGAAGGGAUACUUCAUGAAAUGGCAAAUCAGCUGCUGCUCUAGUGAAGAAACCCAAGGUUGAACCCAAACCCGAGACUAAGUGCUUCUGUAAUAAGGGGAACAGCCACUGGAGCAGAAUUACCCUAGAUACUUGGUAGAUUAGAAGGCUGGCAAGGUCGAUAGAAGUAUAUUGGAUAUACAUUAUGUUGAUGUGUACUUUACUAGUACUCCUAGUAGCACCAGGGUAUUAGAUACCGGUUCGGUUGCUAAGUGUUAGCAACUCGAAAUAAAAGCUACGGAAUAAACGGAGACUAGCUAAAGGUGAGCUGACGAUAUGUGUUGGAAGUGUUUCCAAUAUUGAUAUGAUCAAGCAUCGCACGCUCCCUCUACCAUCGAGAUUGGUGUUAAACCUAAAUAAUUUUUAUUUGGUGUUUGCGUUGAGCAUAGACGUGAUUGGAUUAUGUCUAUCGCAAUAUGGUUAUUCAUUUAAGGAGAAUAAUGGUUACUCUGUUUAUUUGAAUAAUACCUUCAAUGGUCUUGCACCUAAAAUGAAUAGUUUAUUGAAUCUCGAUCGUAGUGAUACACAUGUUCAUGCCAAAAGAUAGUAAUGAUAGUACCACCUACUUGUGGCACUGCCACGUAAGUCAUAUCGGUAUAAAACGCAUGAAGAAGCUCCAUGUUGAUGGAUCUUUGGACUCACUCAUUUUUGAAAGGAUUGAGACAUGCGAACCAUGUUUGUUGGUAGAUAUGCAUGAAGAAACUCCAUGAAAAUGGACCAUUUGGACUCACUUGAUUUUGAAUCACUUGAGACAUGCAAAUCAUGCCACAUGGGAAAGAUGACUGAAAGCCUCGUUUCCAGUAAAAUGGAACUAGAAAGCAACUUGUUGGAAGUAAUACAUUUUGAUGUGUGCAGUCCAAUGAGUGCUGAGGCGUGUAGUGGAUAUCGUUAUGUUCUUACUUCACGAAUGAUUUGAGUAAAUGUUGAGUAUAUUUACUUGAUGAAUCACGAGUCUGAAUUAUUGAAAGGUUCAAGUAAUUUCAGGGUGAAGUUGAAAGAUCGUCGUGACAAGAGGAUAAAAUAUCUAUGAUAUGAUCAUAGAGAUGAAUAUCUGAAUUAUGAGUUUGGCACAGAAUUAAGACAUUGUGGAAAUCGUUUCACAACUAAUACAGCCUGGAACACCAUAGUGUGAUGGUGUGUCCGUACAUCAUAACUGCACCCUAUUGGAUAUGAUGCAUACCAUGAUGUCUCUUAUCGAAUUACCAUGAUAGUUUAUGGGUUAGGCAUUAGAGACAACCACAUUCACUUUAAAUAGGGCACCACGUAAUUCCGAUGAGAUGACACCAUAUGAACUAUGGUUUAGAGAAACCUAAGCUGUCAUUUCUUAAAAGUUUGGGGCUGCGACGCUUAUGUGAAAAAGUUUCAGGCCGAUAAGCUCGAACCCAAAGAGGAUAAAUGCAUCUUCACAGGACACCCAAAACAGUUGGGUAUACCUCCUGUCUCAGAUUCGAAAGCAAUAAGGGAUUGUUUCUAGAAUCGGGUCCUUUCUCGAGGAAAAGUUUCUCUCGAAAUAAUUGAGUGGAGGAUGGUGGAGACUUGAUGAGGUUAUUGAACCGUCUCUUCAACUAGUGUGUGGCAGGGCACAGGGAGUUGUUCCUGUGGCACCUACACCAGUUAAAGUGGAAGCUUGUGAUAGUGAUCAUGAAACUUCAGAUCAAGUCACUACCAAACCUCGUGGGAUGACAAGGAUGCGUACUACUUCAGAGUGGUACGUAAUCCUGUCUUGGAAGUCAUGUUGCUAGACAAUAAUUAACCUACGAGCUAUGGAGAAGCGAUGGUGGGCCUGGAUUCCGAUAAAUGGCUCGAGGCCAUAAAAUCCGAGAGAGGAUCCAUGUAUGAAAACAAAGUGUAGACUUUGGAAGAACUACUUGAUGGUCGUAAGGCUGUUAGGUACAUAUGGAUUUUAAAAGGAAGACAGACAAUGAUGGUAAGUAUCACCAUUAAGAAAGCUCGAUUUGUCGUUAAGAAGUUUCCCGACAAGUUCAAGGAGUUGACUACGGUGAGACUUUCUCACUCGUAGCGAUGCUAAGGGUCUGUUGGAAUUAUAUUAGCAAUUACUGCAUUAUUUAUGAAAUCUUGCAGAUAGGAUGUCAAAACAUUGUUUCCUCGAUGAUUUUUGAGGAAAGGUUGUAUGUGAUACAACCGGAUGGUUUUGUCAAUCCUGAAAGAUGCUAAUAAGUAUGCAAAGCUCCAGCAAUCCUUCUGAGGACUGGAGUAAGCAUCUCGGAGUUGGAAUGUAUGCUUUGAUGAGAUGAUCAAAGAUUUUGGGUGUAUACAAAGUUUAUGAGAAACUUGUAUUUCCAAAGAAGUGAGUGGGAGCACUAUAGAAUUUCUGAUGAAUAUAUGUUGUUGACAUAUUGUUGAUCAGAAAUGACAUAGAAUUUCUGGAAAGCAUAUAGGGUUAUUUGGAAAGUGUUUUCAAUGGAAAGCCUGGAUUAAGCUACUUGAACAUUGAGCAUCAAGAUCUAUAAGGAUAGAUCAAAACGCUUAAUGGUACUUUCAAAUGAGAACAUACCUUGACAUGAUCUUGAAGGUGUUCAAGAUGGAUCAGUCAAAGAAGGAGUUCUUGCCUGAGUUGUAAGGUAUGAAGUUAAGACUUAAAAGCUCGACCAUGGCAGAAUAGAGAGAAAGGACGAAGGUCGUCCCCUAUACUUAAGACGUAGGCUCUACAGUAUGCUAUGCUGUGUACCGCACCUGUAGUGUGCCUUGCCAUGAGUCAGUCAAGGGGUACAAGAGUGAUCCAAGAAUGGAUCACAGGACAGCGGUCAAAGUUAUCCUUAGUAACUAGUGGACUAAGGAAUUUUCUCGAUUAUGGAGGUGGUAAAAGAGUUCGUCGUAAAGGGUUACGUCGAUGCAAGCUUAACACCUAUCCGGAUAGCUCUGAGUAGAGAUACCGGAUACGUAUAAUGGAGCGACAAUUUAGAAUAGCUCCAAGUAGAACAGUUAUUUGGAAUAGCUCCAAAUAGAACGUGGUAGCUACAUCUAGGAGAUGACAUAGAGAUUUGUGAAGCACACACGGAUCUGAAAGGUUCAGACCCGUUGACUAAAACCUCUCUCACAAGCAACAUGAUCAAACCCAGAAGUCAUUGAGUGCUAAUCACAUAGUGAUGUGAACUAGAUUAUUGACUCUAGUAAAAUCUUUGGAUGUUAGUCACAUGGGGAUGUGACCUUGAGUGUUAAUCACAUAUCGAUGUGAGCUAGAUUAUUGACUCUAGUGCAAGUGGGAGACUGUUGGAAAUAUGCCCUAGAGGCAAUAAUAAAUUGAUUAUUAUUAUAUUUCCUUGUUCAUGAUAAUCGUUUAUUAUCCAUGCUAGAAUUGUAUUGAAAGGAAACUCAGAUACAUGUGUGGAUACAUAGACAACACCAUGUCCCUAGUAAGCCUCUAGUUGACUAGCUCAUUGAUCAAUAGAUGGUUACGGUUUCCUGACCAUGGACAUUGGAUGUCAUUGAUAACGGGAUCACAUCAUUAGGAGAAUGAUGUGAUGGACAAGACCCAAUCCUAAGCAUAGCACUAGAUCGUGUAGUUCGUAUGCUAAAGCUUUUCUAAUGUCAAGUAUCAUUUCCUUAGACCAUGAGAUUGUGCAACUCCCGGAUACCGUAGGAAUACUUUGGGUGUGCCAAACGUCACAACGUAACUGGGUGGCUAUAAAGGUACACUACGGGUAUCUCCGAAAGUGUCUGUUGGGUUGGCACGAAUCGAGACUGGGAUUUGUCACUCCGUGUAAACGGAGAGGUAUCUCUGGGCCCACUCGGUAGGACAUCAUCAUAAUAUGCACAAUGUGAUCAAGGAGUUGAUCACGGGAUGAUGUGUUACGGAACGAGUAAAGAGACUUGCCGGUAACGAGAUUGAACAAGGUAUCGGGAUACCGACGAUCGAAUCUCGGGCAAGUAUCGUACCACUAGACAAAGGGAAUUGUAUACGGGAUUGAUUGAGUCCUUGACAUCGUGGUUCAUCCGAUGAGAUCAUCGUGGAACAUGUGGGAGCCAACAUGGGUAUCCAGAUCCCGCUGUUGGUUAUUGACUGGAGAACGUCUCGGUCAUGUCUGCAUGUCUCCCGAACCCGUAGGGUCUACACAGUUAAGGUUCGGUGACGCUAGGGUUAUAAAGGAAGUUUAUAUGUGGUUACCGAAUGUUGUUCGGAGUCCCGGAUGAGAUCCCGGACGUCACGAGGAGUUCCGGAAUGGUCCGGAGGUAAAGAUUGAUAUAUUGGACGAAGGGUUUUGGAGUCCGGGAGUGUUCCGGAGGUACCGGGUGAUGACCAGCAUGACCGAAAGGUGUUUCGGGAGCCCCGGCAAGUGUUGGGGGGCUUCAUGGGCCAAGGGAAGGGGGCAAACCAGCCCACUAAAGGGCUGUGCGCCCCCCUCACCUAAUCCCACGUGACCAGGGGGUUUGGGGCGCCCCAUCUAGGGUUCCCACCUCCUGGCUUGGGGGCCAAGUCACCCAAGGGGGAGAUCCCAUCUGCCCUGGCCGCCGCCCCCCUAGGGGAAACCCUAGGGCGCCUCCCCCUCCCCCUUGCCCCUAUAUAUAGUGGAGGUUUUGGGGCUGCACAUGACACGAGAUGAGUUCCUCUCCCCAUUGGUGCAGCCCUACCUCUCUUUCUCCUCGUCUCCCGUGGUGCUUGGCGAAGCCCUGCAGGAUUGCCACGCUCCUCCACCAUCACCACGCCGUUGUGCUGCUGCUGGAUGGAGUCUUCCUCAACCUCUCCCUCUCUCCUUGCUGGAUCAAGGCAUGGGAGACGUCACCGGGCUGUACGUGUGUUGAACGCGGAGGUGCCGUGCGUUCGGCACUAGGAUCUCCGGUGAUUUGGAUCACGACGAGUACGACUCCAUCAACCCCGUUCUCUUGAACGCUUCCGCUUAGCAAUCUACAAGGGUAUGUAGAUGCACUCUUCUUCCCCUCGUUGCUGGUCUCUCCAUAGAUAGAGCUUGGUGAUACGUAGGAAAAUUUUGAAUUAUUGCUACGUUCCCCAACACCAAUCACCAAGACAUGCAAACUGCACUGUGAACAAAUUGGUGUCAAUCAUACGCCACUGCACACCCUUUGCGGGAUUCCAAGCAGACCUCAUGUCCGCGUACAAAGCCGACGAACUGAAUCCCUUGUCUGUGUGUACCCUCUCAAUUGCUAACCACAUAGCUUGAAUAUCUGGCAGAUUCUCCUCCUCCUCCCAUACGAAAUCGCCGCCCUGAUCUUCAUGGAGAGCCAAUCUGCCGAGCAACUCCUCAACCUCCUCGCUAUGUGAAAUCUUUUUACUAGGGUUACUGCCGCCCGCUUCCAUCUUGAAUACCGCUGAGACUCCUGAGACUUCGCGCAGAACAAGGCCGUGAAGAAGCAAAGCUUCCCCCAUAUUUUUGGUAACAGGCACAUUUAUUUUAAUGUUCCUCAAACAAGAAAAUAUAAAAGAGGGACAGGGGGAGAAAAAUAAACUACUAGUACUGCGAUGACCAUUGCAGUAACAUGCUUCCAAAUAAUCUGUACUACUUUAUAAAUAAAUUGAUCAGAUAGCUCAUAACAAGUCAUACUCGAUAUGCCUUAGAAAUUAUUGAUCUAUCAUCGAGAGAUAAAUACAGCAAAACAAAAACAAAUCAUCACCAACGAAACAAUUCAACCAAACGCAUCAUCAGAGCUCAAGUUUUUCACCCUUCCAGGUCAGCAUGAAAAAUAUUCAAUCAACUCUACCACGGGGAUCCCGCAACCUCUUACCAAGCGCCCGCCCUUCGAGUCAGCACAUAAGGGAAAAUAUCUGCAAGGGCAAAUUAGCCCUAUAAAAAGCAUGAUAAGUAUUGUACCAGCAAUGUGUCGAAACAAAUUUGAAUGACAUAGCCAGAAGAAGAUUUAUGAUCAACAUAAUUCCAUUUCUUUGAUAAGAAACUACCCUACUUUUGUCAUCUUAUUUUUUCCACAUCACUAUAAUUAUAUUUUUCUUUGAAAGAAGUGUAUACACUCGGUUUUUUGAUAGAAUGAUGCAAGCAACCCAUUUAUUGUGAAGUUUUUAAUUCGAUAUCGAAGUUGAUUUUUUUGAUAAGAAUAGGCCCUCAGUGGAAAAUUGAAUAUGACUACAACAAUGACCACACUAGUGUAUCACUUCCUCCCCGAAAGUGUUAUCUGACAACGUCUUUGGUUCGUGCGGACUACAGAUGGGGAAUGUGUGUUGAGGGGUGAGGAGAUUAAAAGCCCUUUGAUUGAUUAUAGGUAAUGAGAGUUUAAGUUGGUACAGGAAUGGGAGUUGAGGGAGCCGAUUCCCGAUUUCUUUCCAUGGGGUACCAUGUUAAUCCGUGAUCAGUGGUCCAUGAUAGACUAAUUCCCAUAAUAUACGAAGCAAGGAAAUGGGAAUAAAAAUCUACUUCCACUCCUAAUCUCAACACAAACUCCCACCCCGGCCCCUACCCCAAUGGUUACCGAACAGGGUGUGAAAAUUGUGCUUUUGCAUUCACUAGUUCGAGGGCAAUCCUUUUAUUUCUUCCAUUGUCUGGUGAAAAAAAUCUCUUAAUAAUGUUUGUAUUACCUACCUACAAAAUUGAGAAAGCAAAUGACUGAUAGAUUUUUGAUAGGAGGAACCUCUGCUUCAUGACUAUGACUAGGAGACUCUUGACUUAGUUGGUCUAUACAAGAGAAAACAAGGCCAGAUUUCCAUGAAUCCUUUUGUCCCUCAUUCAAUGUCGUCAAGCUGCAUUUUCGAACGUGCCCUUGUCGACGAUACCGAUGGCAGACUUUGACCAUGAAUUAGAGUAUAUCUAGAUGGUUGAGUCUCCAAGACAAAGAAAAGAGCGUAACCAUCCCCAGUGUAGUACAUUACCACUAACGUUCCCUAUAUAUGAUAUAACUCAGAAGGAGAACAACUUAAGGUAUGUGCCGCGUUACAGAACAGGAAGCACUUGCAAUAAGGGAUCCCUUUAUUCAAUUUUAUGGUUAUGAUUUGUCUAAAGAAAAGCACUACAAUAACUAUGAUGCCACAUUGUGAAUUUCGACUAUUUACAUGCUCAGUUCCUACAGAACCUGAAUGGAUCAGAGAACAAUCUUCUGAGGUGAAUCUGCAUAACAUCAUCGUUUUAGAGCCAACUGUUUCCAACUAUGUAUUAGUGAAUUUUGACUAUUUACAUGUUCAGUUCCUAUAGAACCUGAAUGGAUCAGAGCACAAUCUUCUGAGGUGAGUCUGUUGAGUAAAUAGGCAAUUUCUCGAUUAAAUUAAUCCAUGAGUAAAUCACUAGCAUGGCAUAGACACAAAUAAACGCAUACUGAUAUUCAGUCAAGCAAGCACAUACUACGCUAAUUACAGAAAGAUCUACGUAUAACGCUAGCAUGGCUAAAACAGAAAACAAUAUGAGCGGGAUAAUUGAGUUAUACCCUCCAGUAGGCGUGGUUUCGGACAGCAGCAGCAAGGAAACGACGGUGGGCGUGUGCGUGGAUCAGAUGUGAUCUGUUCGUGGCGGCUAGGGUUAGGAGACAUCGCACACUUGUAUAGGCGCAGUCCUUUUAUUUCUUCCAUUGUCUGGUGAAAAAAAUCUCUUAAUAAUGUUUGUAUUACCUACUACAAAAUUGAGAAAGCAAAUGACUGAUAGAUUUUUUGAUAGGAGGAACCUCUGCUUCAUGACUAUGACUAGGAGACUCUUGACUUAGUUGGUCUAUACAAGAGAAAAGAAGGCCAGAUUUCCAUGAAUCCUUUUGUCCCUCAUUCAAUGUCGUCAAGCUGCAUUUUUGAAGGUGCCCUUGUCGACGAUACCGAUGGCAGACUUUGACCAUGAAUUAGAGUAUAUCUAGAUGGUUGAGUCUCCAACACAAAGAAAAGAGCGUAACCAUCCCCAGUGUAGUACAUUACCACUAACGUUCCCUAUAUAUGAUAUAACUCAGAAGGAGAACAACUUAAGGUAUGUGCCGCGUUACAGAACAGGAAGCACUUGCAAUAAGGGAUCCCUUUAUUCAAUUUUAUGGUUAUGAUUUGUCUAAAGAAAAGCACAACAAUAACUAUGAUGCCACACUGUGAAUUUCGACUAUUUACAUGCUCAGUUCCUACAGAACCUGAAUGGAUCAGAGCACAAUCUUCUGAGGUGAAUCUGCAUAACAUCGUCGUUUUAGAGCCAACUAUUUCCAACUAUGUAUGAGUAGUGAAUUUUGACUAUUUACAUGUUCAGUUCCUACAGAACCUGAAUGGAUCAGAGCACAAUCUUCUGAGGUGAAUCUGUUGAGUAAAUAGGCAAUUUCUCGAUUAAAUUAAUCCACGAGUAAAUCACUAGCAUGGCAUAGACACAAAUAAACACAUACUGAUAUUCAGUCAAGCAAGCACAUACUACGCUAAUUGCAGAAAGAUCUACGUAUAACGCUAGCAUGGCUAAAAUAGAAAACAGUAGGAGCGGGAUAAACGAGUUAUACCCUCCAGUAGGCCAUGCAGAGGCCGCGGCUUUGGUGGCAGCAGCGGCGUCCUCGACGGCCUUCUUGUCGGCUUCAGCUUUCUCGGCGACGACACGUAGGUGUGAGCUCGGCUCGGCUCAAUCCCGCAACCGUUAGUGACUGGUAAAAAUAAGCGAUUAGGUGUGAGCUCAGCUUGGCUCAAUCCCGCAACCCGCGGCGCGGCGCGUCGUGACGAGGCGUGGCGUGGCGUGGAAUGGCAAGGCGGGCGGCGGAGGAGGAGUGCGCGAGGGCCUCUUCUCUUCUCAAGCUCCAAUAGCAUGUAGAAGAGAAACCCUUAUAACACUACUAGGGAAAAGCCUAGCAGCAGCGCAGGUUUUAGGCCUAUCAGCGGCGCGGGUGCCCGCGCUACCAAUAAGACGCUACAGCUAACUCUUAGUAGUAGCGUUGUCUGUACCCGCGCUACUACUAUUGACUAUAUCAGCAACGCUUUUCAGGAACGCGCUGCUAUUAGUUAGCUGUAGCGAUUUCCUGAUCCCGUGCUACUGUUAUAUCUUUCACCAUUUCCCCAUUCCAGCUUCGAUAAACUGCAAUUUCCAGAUACUAGGUACUACUAGAUAUCAAUUUCAUAAAGCAUUAUAGGUACUAGGUAGUACUCCCUCGGUUCGAAAUUACUCGUCGUGGUUUUAGUUCAAAUUUGAACUCAAACCACGACGAGUAAUUUGGAACCGAGGGAGUACUAGAUAACAAUUUCAUAUAUACUCAACAUGCAUCCUCAAGCAGUACAAGGUGACAUCGACGACAAUCAUCAUAUUUAGUUCUAGAUGAUAUCGACGACGAUCAUCAUAUGUAGUUCUACAUGAUAUCGACGACGAUCAUCAUAUGUAGUUCUAGAUGAUAUAGCCACACACACAUAUGUAGUUCUAGAUGAUAUCGAUGACGAUCAUCAUCCUCAAGCCUGGGCGGUGGGUGUUCCUGAUAGUAAUUAGGAUGGCCUGUCCAACACGAAGAUUCUUGCCAACGAGGAAUCUCUUCCACCCAACCGAGUUCAAGUGUGUGCGACCAUCUGUGUCCAUGCGGUAAGUACAGGUGGUGACGGAGCCCCUUGCGGUAAGGCGUAGUCCAACUGAGCCUUCUUCAUCAGGCUCGAUACCACAACUCACAGAUAGGUUCUUUGGCAAUCUCUGAAUAAGAAAAACAUAUCAAUUAAUAAAUAGCCUCACACAUACUCUUGCAAAUAUAUUUCUAUCAAGUCUAGAUUUCUACACUAUCAAAAGACACAGUACUACGCAUUUGUACUAAUUAAUCAUGAAUUCUACUAAUAAGUAUAUAUGGAUUAUCUACACUAUUAAUAGUUCCUUAGAUUCUACACUAAUAAGCAUGUGAUCAGACUCUACACUAAAGUAUAUCAUCGACUAGAUUCCACAAAGCAUAUCAUUGGACUCUACACUAAGCAUAUCAUCGAAUUCACUAAGCAUAUCAUCGGAUAAUUUGCAUUUGUAAGUAUAACAAUAAAGCAUAUAUAUAUCAUCAAAUUACUACAUGCAGUACGUAUAACAUACCAUUUCAUGCCGAUCGACCAUGGUACUUGUCAGGCGGGUCACGAAUGGCACCCCGACAAAGUCAUCAUGUGGCAGAAUUAUGUCCCAUAGGUUGCACACCUCCUCCUUGCUCAGCCUCAUUCUUUGAGCUAUGAUGGCUUCAUGAAGUGGGUUCUCAUCAUCUUCAUUGAGUGGGUCCUCAUUAUCUUCAUCAUCUUCGUCAUCUUCAUCAUCUUCCACUAGGUUGAUAUAAAUGACAACCAGCUUGGGUCUUUCUGCUCUGAAGGAGAAUCUGAUCAACUCACCACCUGUAAGACGCAUGCAAGCGAGGAAACGGGCCCAUCCAUCUCCUCCAAUCUGCGACAUAUUGCGUCCUUUCUCGACCUCCAUAGUGUACGGCCCCCCAGGAGCCUCAAAUGUCACAGUGUCUCCUGUCAGCUUGUUGAAUUUCAACCUCACAUUGCAUGGGACGAUCUGUGUAAGAAAAGCAAAAUGACACAAUGCAGUAAUGCCAACACUAAAAAUAAAAUAGUUGUUACAUUUCAUCUAAUUUCUUACCGCCGCAUGAAGAAAACUCAGAUGGAAGUAGAUGCCGAACAGCUUGCCAGUUGCAAGGCUGCUGGCACACCUUGACUUGCAUAGUCGACAUAGUGGUGCUGGUGGUGGCGCCAUUUUCCUAAAGCAAUAUGAGCAAAGGAUUAACGAUUCACUUCACAGGAAAGAAAAACAUUAGCAUGUGAUAUUUUUGGUUCUUCCGCGAGAAACAAUUUUAUGGACAAUUAUAAUCCUAAUUUGGCCCCUAUUGCCUAAGAUAAUUGUUUAAACAAACAAGUGUCAAAUUUAACUAAGUUGGCACCUACAUUUUGCCAAAAAAUAACUUAUUACAAAAAAAAUCAACUAAAUCAACUAGCCUACUAAAUAAACUAAAUCGAGCAUACUAAAUCAACUAAAUCAAUUAGCAUACUAAAUCCACUAGCAUACUAAAUCAACUAAAUCAAAAUGUUCUAAAUCAACUAGCCUACUAAAUCAACUAAAAUCAACUAGCCUACUAAAUCAACUGAAUCAUAGCAACUAAAUCAAAAUGUUACAUAUUAAAGCCUACUCGAGGAGGGAGAAGAUAGUAGGACGGAGGAGGAAGGCGGAGCGAGGAGGGGCCGGCCGGCGGCGAGUGGAGGGAGGACGGAUCGAGGAGGAAGGCGGAGCGAGGAGGGGCCGGCCAGCGGCGAGUGGAGGGAGGACGGAGGAGGAGGCCGGUACCGAGUCCAGCGAGGAGGAUGAGGCGACAGCGGCGCAGAUCGGGGGAGGGGCGACGGGGGAGGACCGGCGGCGCGGGGGGUGAGGAGGAGACCGAGUGAGUGUGUGUGAGUGUGAUCUGUGGAUGAGGCUAGUGAGUGGGGGGAGAUGGAAUGGCAUUGCACUAGCGCGCUAUAGGAAAAUGCGCUACUGCUAAACUACCUAUCAGUAGCGCCUUUUUGUGUACAAUCUUAUUUGUCAAUAGGAAUCCUCGCCGGUUGGUUUAAGAACUGGCGAGGAUUCCUAUUGCGGCCACAGAUCCUACACAUAGAGUUCAAUGAAGACCAAGUGCUUGUGAAAGUUGUAGAAGAAACAUAUUUAAGGUGGGUAAAACUCUCUUCACGGAGCGAGGUGGGACUAAAUUUUUGUAGUUAAUUUAGCAAUAGCGAUUAUUGCCUGAAUGCGCUACUGCUACAUUACGUAGCAGUAGCGCUGUUUAGUUUAACGCGCUGCUGCUAUAACUGGCCUCGCGGCGGCAUCGUCGGAAUUUUAGCAGUAGCGCUUCUUGGAGUGCGCGCGCUACUGAUAAACUUGUUUCAGCAGCGAGUUUCUAAAGCCCGCGCUACUGCUACUUAGCAGCAGCGCCUGAUUUUAAAGCACGCUGCUGGUAAGAUUCUGUGUAUAGGCUUCUCCCUAGUAGUGUAAGGAGGUCCAACUCCUCUUCCACUUCCGGGGUGGGACUAAACUUCCCACUACACCUAGUGCCAUAUAACCCACAUGGGCCCUUAGAGAUUUUUCAGAAAUUGCUAUAUGGGCUAGAGCCCAUCUCAAAUUUCAGCAAUUCCUCACCAGAUCUCGAGGGCCCAUUAUGUCCUCUGUUCCAAUUACUGUUUCGAUAUACCAAUGUUUUAGUGAAGACCUGUUAAGGUUGAACUUCACCUAAAGCAAGUAGCUACACUCCUUCACAACUGAACAAUGGACUAUGCCUUGAAUUGUCAGUUUGGUGUAAAGAAGUUUCACCACAUGUCUUACUAGUACUAGGCUGCCGAAGACUGACCCCUCGGGUGGAGCAUAUAAGUCACACUCCUGGCCUAUUCAUGAGCUUACUAGAGAUCACCCCAAUCUCUUAGACUGUGACCAGUAGUCGGGCUCAUAUAGGUGUGUUCCUCCAAAGAUCGCUCUGUAGGAUAGCAUCUUGCUUUCAUAAGUUUUGGAACACAUUAAGACAGUAGUCAUCCUACAAUACAGUAUCGAGAGUAUUGCAUCUCCAACGGAGUGGGUUAGUAUAGUUACUAUCCUCAGUUCACCACUGGCUUGUUUUCCCAGGUCCUACUUCACGGGAUCUCCGAUCACAUAGGUUGGUUUACCACCAUGGCAACUCAUCUGGGUCUCAUACCCAUCUCCCUCGAUGCAUUAUCUAUCACAACACGUGAUAGCCCUUUCGUAAAGGGAUCUGCCAGAUUCUUAGCCGUAUGGACAUAGUCCAACGCUAUCACUCCGGAGUUUCUUAAUUUUCUGAUAGCUUUUAAUCUCAUUCUUAUGUGUUUGUUGGACUUCAUGUUGUCCUUUGAACUCUUCACCUUGGUGAUGACAGUCUGAUUGUCACAGUUCAUAAGGAUAGCCGGAACCGGUUUAUCAACCAAUGGCAAGUCCAUCAAAAGAUCUCGAAGCCAUCCUGCUUCAACACCAGAUGUGUCUAAUGCUGUUAAUUCUGCUUCCAUUGUCGAUCUCGUUAAGAUCGUUUGCUUGCAAGACUUCCAGGAAACAGCGCCACCUCCAAGAGUAAACAUAUACCCAGUUGUGGCCUUCAUCUCAUCAGCAUCAGAGAUCCAAUUCGCAUCACUAUACCCUUCAAGUACCGACGGGUCUCCGGUAUAGUGAAGUCCAUAGUUCAUAGUACCUUUCAGAUAGCGCAUAACUCUUUCAACAGCAUGCCAAUGUACAUCACCCGGUUUGGAAACAAACCGGCUUAAUUUGCUCACAGCAAACGCGAUGUCAGGCCUCGUUGCGCUCGCUAGGUACAUCAGUGAACCAAUGAUUUGAGAGUAUCUCAAUUGAUCUUUAGCCGUGCCUUUGGACUUUCGAAUCACCACGCUAGGAUCAUAUGGUGUUUGAGAUGGUGCAUAGUCCGAAUAUCCAAAACGACUCAACACCUUCUCAACAUAGUGGGAUUGCAGAAGUGUAAUCCCACCCUCAUUAUCUCUCAGUAGCUUAAUGUUCAAGAUAACAUUAGCCACACCAAGGUCUUUCAUCUCAAAGUUCUGAGAUAGAAACGAUUUGACCUCCUCAGUGAGUUUGAGGUUUGUUCCAAAUAUCAGUAUGUCAUCAACAUACAAGCACAGUAUAACUCCUUCACCCCCACCAUGGCGAUAGUAUACACAUUUGUCAGCCUCAUUAACAACGAAACCAACAGAUGUCAGAGUUGUAUUAAACUUAUCAUGCCAUUGAUUAGGUGCUUGCUUUAGGCCAUAUAAAGAUUUCAGCAACCUACACACCUUUCUUUCCUGACCAUCUAUCACAAAGCCAUCUGGCUGUUGCAUGUAGAUUUCCACGUUUAGCUCUCCAUUCAGAAAAGCCGUCUUAACAUCCAUCUGGUGGACGAGAAGACCAUGCGAGGCCGCCAACGAGAGUAAUACUUGAAUGGUGGUUAGUCUAGCCACAGGUGAAUAAGUAUCGAAGAAAUCUUCCUCUUCUUUCUGGUCAUAGCCCUUGGCCACAAGCCUAGCCUUGUACUUUUCAAUUGUACCAUCGGGCCUAAGCUUCUUCUUGAACACCCACUUACAUCCUAAUGGUUUGCAACCAUAGGGACGGUCAGUGAUCUCCCAUGUCCCGUUAGCCAUGAUGGAGUCCAUCUUGCUAUGGACCGCAUCCUUCCAGUAAUCAGCUUCUGGAGAGGCAUACGCUUCUGAAAUAGAAGUGGGAGUAUCAUCCACGAGGUACACGAAGAAAUCAUCACCAAAGGUCUUUGCAGUCCUUUGUCUCUUUCCCCUACCAAGGGUUUCCUCGUCAUCCUCCUCAGGAUUUUCAUCAUGUGUUUGUUCAUAAUAUUCCAUAGGGAUGGCAGGUUCAGGAGUCUCCUCAGAUUCCUGUCUAGAAGUGCUUUGCAUAUCUCUCAUAGUAAAAAUAUCCUCAAAGAAUGUAGCAUCCUUAGACUCCAUAAUUGUACCGACCUUCUGGUCAGGUACAUCAGAUUUCACUACUAGAAAUCUAUAGCCAACGCUGUUCUUAGCGUAGCCCAAAUUAACGCAGACCACAGUCUUGGGUCCAAGCUUACGCUUUUUGAGGACCGGCACAUUGACUUUCGCCAAACAGCCCCAAGUGCGCAAGUACGAGAGUGUUGUCCUUCUCUUCGCCCAUUUCUCAUAGGGAGUGAUCUCAUUAUCCUUUGUCGGAACUUUAUUCAGGACAUGACAUGCCGUCAAUAUAGCCUCCCCCCACCAUGCCUUGGAUAAACCCGAUGUAUGUAACAUGGCGUUAACCAAAUCAGUUAGAGUAUGGUUUUUCCGCUCAACAACCCCGUUUGACUGGGGUGAAUAGGGAGGCGUCCUCUCAUGAAUAAUGACAUGUUCCGCACAAAAGGAACCAAACUCACUCGAGAAGUACUCUCCACCACGAUCUGACCGGACUCGUUUAAUUUUCUUUUCAAGUUGGUUCUCAACUUCUGCCUUAUAGAUUUUAAAGUAGUGUAGAGCCUCAUCUUUAGUAUUUAACAGAUACACAUAGCAAUAUCUAGUGGAAUCAUCUAUCAAUGUCAUGAAGUAUUCCUUUCCACCUUUAGUCAACACACCAUUCAUCUCACAAAGAUCAGAAUGUAUGAGUUCUAAUGGUGCCAAGUGUCUCUCCUCCGCGGCCUUGUGAGGCUUGCAAGGUUGCUUAGCUUGCGCACAUGAAAGGCACUUAGAACCUUUGGCUAAAGUGAAACUCGGGAUUAAAUCCAACUUGGCUAGCUGCGUCAUAACACCAAAACUAAUGUGGCAAAGACGUGAAUGCCAAACUUCAGAUUCAUUAACAUUCGAAUGAAUAUGGUUCACGACUUUAUUACAAAAUUCUGCGAGGGAAAGGCGGAACAUCCCUCCGCUCUCAUAACCUUUUCCAACAAAGAGUCCAUAUUUCAUAACAACUAAUUUAUUAGACUCGAAAACCAACUUAAACCCUUCUCUACAUAGAAGGGAGCCACUAACAAGGUUCUUCUUGAUGGCGGGGACAUGCUGCACGUUCUUCAGCUGCACGAUCCUUCCCGAAGUAAACUUCAGAUCGACCGUGCCAACACCAUGAACAGAAGCACUCGCGCCAUUCCCCAUCAAUACGGACCCGUGACCUGUGACCUGGUAAGAAGUGAACAAUGAAAUGUCAACACACACAUGAACACCUGCACCUGUGUCCACCCACCAAUCGGUAGGUUGAAACACUGAAAAAACAGUAAAUAAAUUACCGUACCCAGAUGCACCAUUCUCAUUGUUGCCCACAAUCAUGUUGACAGACUUGGAGUCCUGUCCUGACUUCUUGUACUUGUUUUGGCACUUGUUGGCCCAAUGUUCAACCGAACCACAAGUAAAGUAGCCCUCGUCCUUCUUCUUAAAGUUGGUAUUGUGUUGGACACCGUUCUUUCCCUUGGGCUUGUGGGAGUUGAGUUCUUCUGGUUCACCAUGUUGGCAACAAAAGUCCCUUCGGCCCCUUUUCCGUGCGAGUCUUUUGCCCUCUAAUUCUGCUCAACAGUCAGAUGGCCAAUGAAAUCCUCCAUAGAGAAUUCACGCCUCUGAUGUUUCAGAGUGGUGGCAAAGUUCCUCCAGGAAUUAGGGAGCUUAGCGAUUAUGCAGCCCGCGACAAACUUGCCCGGUAAGUCGCACUUAAGAAGCUCAAGUUCCUUAACAAUGCAUAUUAUCUCAUGAGACUGCUCCAAUAUAGGGCGGUUUUCAACCAUCUUGUAAUCGUGGAACUGCUCUAUAAUAUACAUCUCGCUCCCUGCAUCGGCGGCCCCAAAUUUAGAUUCGAGCGCCUCCCACAAGUCCUUGGCGACAUGCACAUGUAAAUAUGCGUCGACCAGUUUAUCUCCGAUCACGCUAAGAACUGCUCCGAGAAACACAACGGUAGCCUCCUUGAACGCCUUCUCCUGUUCAGGAGCAAUCAUUCCCGUGGAGACACCGGUGACCCAGAACACGUUCAUAGCCGUCAGCCAUAACAUGGUCUUAGUCCGCCAAAGCUUAAAGUAUGUACCGGUAAACUUAUCCGGUUUCAGUGCAGCGGCAAAGCCACUUGCCGAGAAAUUCCUACACAUAAUAGGUUUUUGGAUUGUUGAGUAAAUAGGCAAUUUCUCGAUUAAAUUAAUCCACGAGUAAAUCACUAGCAUGGCAUAGACACAAAUAAACGCAUACUGAUAUUCAGUCAAGCAAGCACAUACUACGCUAAUUGCAGAAAGAUCUACGUAUAACACUAGCAUGGCUAAAACAGAAAACAAUAGAAGCGGGAUAAAUGAGUUAUACCCUCCAGUAGGCGUGGUUUCGGACAGCAGCAGCAAGGGAACGACGAUGGGCGUGUGCGUGGAGCAGAUGUGAUCUGUUCGUGAUGGCUAGGGUUAGGAGACACCGCACACCUAUAUAGGCGCAAUCCUUUUAUUUCUUCCAUUGUCUGGUGAAAAAAAUCUCUUAAUAAUGUUUGUAUUACCUACUACAAAAUUGAGAAAGCAAAUGACUGAUAGAUUUUUGAUAGGAGGAACCUCUGCUUCAUGACUAUGACUAGGAGACUCUUGACUUAGUUGGUCUAUACAAGAGAAAAGAAGGCCAGAUUUCCAUGAAUCCUUUUGUCCCUCAUUCAAUGUCGUCAAGCUGCAUUUUCGAAGGUGCCCUUGUCGAUGAUACCGAUGGCAGACUUUGACCAUGAAUUAGAGUAUAUCUAGAUGGUUGAGUCUCCAACACAAAGAAAAGAGCGUAACCAUCCCCAGUGUAGUACAUUACCACUAACGUUCGCUAUAACUCAGAAGGAGAACAACUUAAGGCAUGUCCCGCGUUACAGAACAGGAAGCACUUGCAAUAAGGGAUCCCUUUAUUCAAUUUUAUGGUUAUGAUUUGUCUAAACAAAAACACUACAAUAACUAUGAUGCCACACUGUGAAUUUCAACUAUUUACAUGCUCAGUUCCUACAGAACCUGAAUGGAUCAAAGCACAAUCUUCUGAGGUGAAUCUGCAUAAUAUCGUUUUAGAGCCAACUGUUUCCAACUAUGUAUGAGUAGUGAAUUUUGACUAUUUACCUGUUCAGUUCCUACAGAACCCGAAUGGAUCAGAGCACAAUCUUCUGAGGUGAAUCUGUUGAGUAAAUAGGAAAUUUCUCGAUUAAAUUAAUCCACGAGUAAAUCACUAGCAUGGCAUAGACACAAAUAAACACAUAUUGAUAUUCAGUCAAGCAAGCACAUACUACGCUAAUUGCACAAAGAUCUACGUAUAACGCUAGCAUGGCUAAAACAGAAAACAGUAGGAGCAGGAUAAACGAGUUAUACCCUCCAGUAGGCGUGGUUUCGGACAGCAGCAGCAAGGGAACGACGGUGGGCGUGUGCGUGGAGCAGAUGUGAUCUGUUCGUGGCGGCUAGGGUUAGGAGACACCGCACACUUAUAUAGGCGCAGCCGCGUGGAGAGACGUGGGCUCGACCCACGUCCGAGUCCGUGCCAGCCCACGAUCCGACGUCUCAGAUCGUGGCCCAGCUGUCAGAGAACUCUCGACCCACGUCCCAGUCCGUGCCAGCCCACGAUCCGACGUCUCAGAUCGUGGCCCAGCUGUCAGAUAAUGACUGGCAAAAAUAAGAGCGUAGGUGUGAGCUUGCCUCGGCUCGAUCCCGCAACCCGCGGCGCGUCGUGCCGAGGCGGGCGGUGGAGGAGGAGUGCGCGAGGGCCUCUUCUCUUCUCAAGCUUUAAUAGCAUAUAGAAGAGAAACCCUUAUAAGGAGGUCCACUCCUCUUCCACUUCCGGGGUGGGACUAAACUUCCCACUACACAUAGUGCCAUAUAAUCCACAUGGGCCUUUAGAGAUUUUUCAGAAAUUGCUAUAUGAGCCUAGAGCCCAUCUCAAAUUUCAGCAGUUUCCAACUAUGUAUAAGUAGUCGUUAACUUAAUGUGAAGCUGAUGUGAGACAUAUUAUUUCUACGUAUAUUCUUUUUUCCUUCUAAGGUGUACUAUAUGGUUUUUAUUUGGUUUUCUGUCCGGUUUCUUUCAGUCUUAUAGGAAUGAAUUUAUAGACGAUUCACAUAAUAUUUUAACAUGCAACGUUUGGGUGGCAUGCCACAAAGCCAUGCCCAAAAUCUAGUACUCCCUCCAAUCCAAAUUGAUUCACAGAACCUUAAUAUAACUUUAGUACAAAGUUAUACUAAAGCUACACCAAUUAAUUUGGAUUGGAGGGAGUAUAAUGUAUAUUAUAGAACUAUAAAUUAUUAUAGUUCUACGAUUGUGGUGAAGUAGGCCCUACUUUAGAGUUUGGCACACGACUUCUGAUUUUGCCGGCUUACCUGCUGCUGCAAGCUGCCUGACUAGGAGACUCUUGACUUCGUAGGUCUAGUCUAUACAAGACGAAACAACAAGAUCUUUCCACAACUAUUGUGCCGCAAAUUUCUUGUCCUCAAACUGCAUUUUGCACACGGCAGAUUUUGACCAUGAACUAGAGCAAGCAUUCAUAUCUGCACGGUCAAGUCUCCAUGACCAAGAAGAGAGCGCAAGUGCGUAGCCAUCCCCGGUGUAGUCUAGUACCACUACUGCUAGUACCGUUCCCUAUUUAACAUAUGGCCCACAAAGUGAACAACGUACGCACUGAGAAGCCGGCCAGAUGAAUAUGCACCGUUCUUCUUCCCUCGCAUUAGCUAUGGCGUUCCUAGCUAUCGUUUACUGUUUCAUGCCGCCGCCAUGCUCAGCAGCGUUCCAAGAAGGUGCGUAAAGAACUGUGUGCAUGCCAUUUUUGUAAGGGAAUUUCUAAAAUUAGGCGGCCGGAAUGAUGAUUGAUCAUGUUCAUAGGUGUAGCUGUUCUGGACGGAUCCCGUAUCAAUGGACCUCCGUCGCCGCGGUACGGGCCGCCGAGGCAGCCAGGCUAUGAGCCCCCGGCCGCUGCUGCCACUUCUGCCACAGCGUAAGACCGUGUAGGCGGCUGCUAAGGCCCCUCACGCAUAAAGUAGACCGGAAAUCAGAGUGUAUACAGUGGUAAAUAAAAUCCGGAUGAUUUGUGAUAUUAAUAAUUAGUUGUGAAAGUUAUGAAUAAAGCCACGUUGUUAUGUGCGUAUGAAUAAGCUAUCAGUCAUAUAGGAUAACAAGUUUACGAUGAAUUGCAUUGAAAAUCCUUAUAUUUCCAAUUACAUAAAGAAAAAAACAAAUAAAAGAUGAGGAGAAUACUAACGAAUGGGAAGAGACUUCCCAGUAUUCUCCUAUUAUUUCUUAUGAUGAAUCAGGUAACCAGGAGGAGCCUUCUAUUCAACCAAUCUCAUUAAUAAGGAGCUCCAAAAGAGGAUUGAACCCACACAUGUGAAGGAAAUAUGCCCUAGAGGCAAUAAUAAAGUUAUUAUUUAUUUCCUUAUAUCAUGAUAAAGGUUUAUUAUUCAUGCUAGAAUUGUAUUAACCGGAAACAUAAUACAUGUGUAAAUACAUAGACAAACAGAGUAUCACUAGUAUGCCUCUACUUGACUAGCUCGUUAAUCAAAGAUGGUUAUGUUUCCUAACCAUGGACAAAGAGUUGUCAUUUGAUUAACGAGAUCACAUCAUUAGUUGAAUGAUCUGAUUGACAUGACCCAUUCCAUUAGCUUAGCACCCGAUCGUUUAGUAUGUUGCUAUUGCUUUCUUCAUGACUUAUACAUGUUCCUAUGACUAUGAAAUUAUGUAACUCUCAUGUGCCGGAGGAACACUUUGUGUGCUACCAAACGUCACAACGUAACUGGGUGAUUAUAAAGGUUCUCUACAAGUGUCUCCAAAGGUACAUUUUGGGUUAACGUAUUUCGAGAUUAGGAUUUGUCACUCCGAUCGUCGGAGAGGUAUCUCUGGGCCCUCUCGGUAAUGCACAUCACUUAAGCCUUGCAAGCAUUGCAACUAAUGAGUUAGUUGCGGGAUGAUGUAUUACGGAACGAGUAAAGAGACUUGCCGGUAACGAGAUUGAACUAGGUAUUGCAUACCGACGAUCGAAUCUUGGGCAAGUAACAUACCGAUGACAAAGGGAACAACGUAUAUUGUUAUGCGGUCUGACCGAUAAAGAUCUUCGUAGAAUAUGUAGGAGCCAAUAUGGGCAUCCAGGUCCCGCUAUUAGUUAUUGACCGGAGACGUGUCUCGGUCAUGUCUACAUUGUUCUCGAACCCGUAGGGUCCGCACGCUUAAGGUUUCGAUGACAGUUAUAUUAUGAGUUUAUACAUUUUGAUGUACCGAAGGUUGUUCGGAGUCCCGGAUGUGAUCACGGACAUGACUAGGAGUCUCGAAAUGGUCGAGACAUAAAGAUUGAUAUAUUGGAAGCCUAUGUUUGGAUAUCGGAAGUGUUCCGGGUGAAAUCGGGAUUUUACCGGAGUACCGGGAGGUUACCGGAACCCCCCGGGAGCUAUAUGGGCCUUAGUGGGCCUUAGUGGAAAAGAGAAGAGGCAACCAGAGAUGGGCCGCGCGCCCCUCCCCUCCCUUGGUCCGAAUAGGACAAGGAGAGGGGGCCGGCCCCCCUUCUCCUUUUCCCCCCUCCGCGAAUCCUAUUCCAACUAGGAUUGGGGGGGGGGGGGAAUCCUACUCCCGUAGGGAGUAGGACUCCUCCUGGCGCGCCACCUCUAAGCCNNNNNNNNNNNNNNNNNNNNNNNNNNNNNNNNNNNNNNNNNNNNNNNNNNNNNNNNNNNNNNNNNNNNNNNNNNNNNNNNNNNNNNNNNNNNNNNNNNNNNNNNNNNNNNNNNNNNNNNNNNNNNNNNNNNNNNNNNNNNNNNNNNNNNNNNNNNNNNNNNNNNNNNNNNNNNNNNNNNNNNNNNNNNNNNNNNNNNNNNNNNNNNNNNNNNNNNNNNNNNNNNNNNNNNNNNNNNNNNNNNNNNNNNNNNNNNNNNNACCCCCUAGAGACACAAGUUGAUCCACAUGAUCAUAUUCUUAGCCGUGUGCGGCGCCCCCUGCCACCAUAGUCCUCGAUAAUAUUGUAGCGGUGCUUAGGCGAAGCCCUGCGACAGUAGUACAUCAAGAUCGUCACCAAGCCGUCGUGCUGACGGAACUCUUCCCCGACACUUUUCUGGAUCGGAGUCCGGGGAUCGUCAUCGAGCUGAACGUGUGCUAGAACUCGGAGGUGUCGUAGUUUUGGUGCUUGAUCGGUCGGGCCGUGGAGACGUAUGACUACAUCGACCAAACGCUUCCGUUGUCGAUCUACAAGGGUACGUAGAUCACACUCUCCCCUCUCGUUGCUAUGCAUCACCAUGAUCUUGCGUGUGCGUAGGAAUUUUUUUGAAAUUACUACGUUCCCCAACAACAUGAUGUGAAGAAGAAAAAGAAAAGACGAAGAAUAAAGGUAGAAAGGUAUCUCUCCCAAAUGAUGUUGCCCCUAUUUCUCAUUGUGAUGAUUAUAAUUGCUAUACUAUUGGUGCUAUACUAUGUUUGAUGAAGAUGAUGUUUUUGAGAAUAUAUUUGCUGCAAUUAAUGUUUGUCCCAAGCUUGGGGAUGCUACGUUUAAUGAAGAUGAUAUUUUUAGUCUCCCAAGUUUUGAUAUGCAAAUUUAUAAUGAUGAUAGCAUGCCUCCUAUUUAUGAUGAUUAUAUUGAUGAAAGUGGUUUUGGAAGAGUGUCAACUUUAGGAAGUAAUGAUCCCACUAUUUUGGAGGAUGUUGAAUCUUAUUAUGAUAAUUAUGAAAGUGUAUUUGGAGAGGUCAUGACUUUAUUUAGUGAUGAUUCCACUAUCUUGGAAGAGGUUUCAAUCGAUUAUGAUGAGAACAAAGUUGCUACUUAUGAUAAUUAUUGUGAUGAUACAUAUGCUAUAAAAAGUAGUGAUGAUUAUAUUUAUAAAACUUGUCAUGAUUGUGAUUACCCUUUUUCUGAACAUUACUCUUUUAAUGUGGAAACAAUUUAUAGUAUUCAAGUCUCUUAUGAUACUCCCACUAUUCCGACAAAGAAGAAUUUUGCUUAUGUAGAGAGUAGUAAAUUUUCUAUGCUUGUAGAUCAUGAAAAGAAUGCUUUAGGUGCUGGUUAUAUUGUUGAAUUCAUUCAUGAUGCUACUGAAAAUUAUUAUUAGGGAGGAAUAUAUGCUCGUAGGAAUUGCAAUAAUAUAAAGUUUCCUCUCUAUGUGCUUAAAAUCUUGAAGUUAUGCUUGUUUUGCUUUCCUAUGCAAGUUGAUUCUUGUUCCCACAAGUUGUUUGCUCACAAAAUUCCUAUGCAUAGGAAGUGGGUUAGACUUAAAUGUGCUAGUCAUAUUCUUCAUGAUGCUCUCUUUAUGUUACAAUUCUUAUCCUUUAUGUGAGCACCAUUGAAAUCAUCAUGCCUAGAUAGGGGCGUUAAACGAUAGCGCUUGUUGGGAGGCAACCCAAUUUUUAUGUUUGUUCCUUGCUUUUUGCUCCUGUUUAGUAAUACAUAAUUCAUCUAGCCUCUGGUUAGAUGUGGUUUUAUGUUUUAAUUAGUGUUUGUGCCAAGUAAGCCUUUAGGAUCUUCUUGGGUGAUUGUUAUUUGAUCUUGCUGUAAAAAACAAAAAGUAUGCGCUCACGAGAAUAAUUUUCAUUUUUUACCAGAGAGCGAUAAAAUACAAUUCAAAUUGUAGUAGAUUAAUAAACAAAUUACCUAGGACUUACUAAUUUCUCAGGAUUUUUGGGGUUCCAGAAGUACUCAAAACCUACAGAUUAGUACAGACUGUUCUGUUUUUGACAGAUUCUUUUUUUCGUGUGUUGUUUGCUUAUUUUAAUGAAUCUAUGGCUAGUAAAAGAGUUUAUAAACCAUAGAGAAGUUGGAAUAAAUUAUGUUUAACACCAAUAUAAAUAAAGAAUUAGUCCAUUACAGUACCUUGAAGUGGUGUUUUGUUUUCUUUCGCUAACGGAGCUCACGAGGUUUCUGUUAAGUUUAUGUUGUGAAGUUUUCAAGUUUUGGGUAAAGAUUCGAUGGACUAUCGAAUAAGGAGUGGCAAGAUCCUAAGCUUGGGGAUGCCCAAGGCACCCCAAGGUAAUAUUCAAGGACAACCAAGAGCCUAAGCUUGGGGAUGCCCAUGAAGGCAUCCCCUCUUUCGCCUUCGUUCAUCAGUAACUUUACUUGGAGCUAUAUUUUUAUUCGCCACAUGAUAUGUGUUUUGCUUGGAGCAUCAUUUUAUUUUAUUUUGUUUUGCUUGCUGUUUGAAUAAAAUACCAAGAUCUGAAAUUCUUAAAUGUUAAGGAGUCUUCACAUAGUUGCAUAAUUAUCCGAUUACUCAUUGAUCUUCACUUAUAUCUUUCGGAGUAGUUUGCCAUUUGCUCUAGUGCUUCACUUAUAUCUUCUUAGAGUAUGGUGGUGGUUUUAUUUUGAAGAAAUUGUGAAACUAUCAUGCUUCACUUAUAUUAUUUUGAGAGUCUUUUAUAACAGCAUGGUAGUUUGCUUUGAUUAUGAAUUUAGUCCUAAUAUGAUAGGCAUCCAAGAGGGAUAUAAUAAAAACUUUCAUAUAAAGUGCAUUGAAUACUAUGAGAAGUUUGAUACUUGAUGAUUGUUUUGAGAUAUGAAGAUGGUGAUAUUAGAGUUAUGCUAGUUGAGUAGUUGUGAAUUUGAGAGAUACUUGUGUUAAAGUUUGUGAUUCCCGUAGCAUGCACGUAUGGUGAACCGUUAUCUGAUGAAGUCGGAGCAUGAUUUAUUUAUUGAUUGUCUUCCUUAUGAGUGGCGGUUGGGGACGAGCGAUGGUCUUUUCCUACCAAUCUAUCCCCCUAGGAGCAUGCGCAUAGUACUUUGUUUCGAUAACUAAUAGAUUUUUGCAAUAACUAUGUGAGUUCUUUAUGACUAAUGUUGAGUCCAUGGAUUAUACGCACUCUCACCCUUCCACCAUUGCUAGCCUCUCUAGUAUCGCGCAACUCCCGCCGGUACCAUAAACCCACCAUAUACCUUCCUCAAAACAGCCACCAUACCUACCUAUUAUGGCAUUUCCAUAGCCAUUCCGAGAUAUAUUGCCAUGCAACUUUCCACUGUUCCAUUAUUAUGACACGCUUCAUCAUUGUCAUAUUGCUUGCAUGAUCAUGUAGUUGACAUCGUAUUUGUGGUGAAGCUACCGUUCAUAAUUCUUCAUACAUUUCACUCAUGCAUCAUUGCAUAUCCCGGUACACUGCCGGAGGCAUUCAUAUAGAGUCAUAUCUUGUUCUAAGUAUUGAGUUGUAAUUAAAUAUAAGUGUGAUGAUCAUCAUUAUUAGAGCAUUGUCCCAGUGAGGAAAGGAUGAUGGAGACUAUGAUUCCCCCACAAGUUGGGAUGAGACUCCGGACGAAAAAAAGAGAAAGGCCAUAAAAAAGGGAGAAGGCCCAAAAAAAUGAGAAUAAAAGAGAGAAGGGACAAUGCUACUAUCCUUUUUUCACACUUGUGCUUCAAAGUAGCACCAUGCUCCAUGAUAGAGAGUCUCCUAUGAUAUCACUUUUAUAUACUAGUGGGAAUUUUUCAUUAUAGAACUUGGCUUGUAUAUUCCAAUUAUGGGCUUUCUCAAAUUGCCCUAGGUCUUCAUGAGCAAGCAAGUUGGAUGCACACCCACUUAGUUCUUUUGUUGAGCUUUCAUACACUUAUAGCUCUAGUGCAUCCGUUGCAUGGCAAUCCCUACUCACUCACAUUGAUAUCUAUUGAUGGGCAUCUCCAUAGCCCGUUGAUACGCCUAGUUGAUGUGAGACUAUCUCCUCCUUUUUGUCUUCUCCACAACCACCAUCCUAUUCCACAUAUAGUGCUAUAUCCGUGGCUCACGCUCAUAUAUUGCGUGAAGAUUGAAAAAGUUUGAGAACACCAAAUGUAUGAAACAAUUGCUUGGCUUGUCAUUGGGGUUGUGCAUGAUUUAAAUAUUUUGUCUGGUGAAGAUAGAGCAUAGCCAGACUAUAUGAUUUUGUAGGGAUAGUUUUCUUCGGCCAUGUUAUUUUGAGAAGACAUGAUUGCUUUGUUAGUAUGCUUGAAGUAUUAUUAUUUUUAUGUCAAUAUUAAACUUUUGUCUUGAAUCUUAUGGAUCUGAAUAUUCUUGGCACAAUAAAGAGAACUACAUGGAUAAAUAUGUUAGGUAGCAUUCCACAUCAAAAAUUCUAUUUUUAUCAUUUACCUACUCGAGGACAAGCAGGAAUUAAGCUUGGGGAUGCUUGAUACGUCUCCAACAUAUCUAUAAUUUUGUAUUGUUCCAUGCUAUUAUAUUAUCAAUCUUGAAUGUUUUAUAUGCAUUUAUAUGCUAUUUUAUAUGAUUUUUGGGACUAACCUAUUAACCUAGAGCCUAGUGCCAGUUUCUGUUUUUUUCCCUUGUUUUAGAGUAUCGCAGAAAAGGAAAAUCAAACGGAGUCCAAUUGACCUGAAACUUCACAGAACUUAUUUUUGGAACGGAAGCAAUCCAGGAGACUUGGAGUAGACGUCAGGGAAGCUUCAAGGGAGGCACGAGGCAGGGAGGCGCACCCUACCCCCCUGGGCACGCCCCCACCCUCGUGGGCCCCUCGUGGCUCCCCUGACAGAUUUCUUUCGCCUAUAUAUAUCCAUAUACCCUAAAAACAUCGAAGAGCGGAAUAGAUCGGGAGUUUCGCCGCCAGAAGCCUCCGUAGCCACCGAAAACCAAUCUAGACCCGUUCCGGCACCCUGCCGAAGGGGGGAAUCCCUCUCCGAUGGCCAUCUUCAUCAUCCCGGUGCUCUCCAUGACGAGGAGGGAGUAGUUCUCCCUCGGGGCUGAGGGUAUGUAUCAAUAGAUAUGUGUUUGAUCUCUCUCUCUCGUGUUCUUGAGGUGAUACGAUCUUGAUGUAUCGCGAGCUUUGCUAUUAUAGUUGGAUGUUAUGAUGUUUCUCCCCCUCUACUCUCUUGUGAUGAAUUGAGUUUUCCCUUUGAAGUUGUCUUAUCGGAUUGAGUCUUUAAGGAUUUGAGGACACUUGAUGUAUGUCUUGCAUGUGUUUAUCUGUGGUGACAAUGGGAUAUCAUGUGAUCCACUCGAUGUAUGUUUUGGUGAUCAACUUGCAAGUUCCGUGACCACGCGAACUUAUGCAUUGGGGUUGGCACACGUUUUCGUGUUGACACUCCGAAAGAAACUUUGGGGCACUCUUUGAAGUUCUUUGUGUUGGUCGAAUAGAUGAAUCUGAGAUUGUGUGAUGCAUAUCGUAUAAUCAUACCCACGGAUACUUGAGGUGACAUUGGAGUAUCUAGGUGACAUUAGGGUUUUUGUUGAUUUGUGUCUUUAAGGUGUUAUUCUAGUAUGAACUCUAUGAUAUAUUGAACGGAAAGAAUAGCUUCAUGUUAUUUUACACGGACUCUUGAAUAGAUCGAUCAGAAAGGAUAACUUUGAGGUGGUUUCGUACCCUACCAUAAUCUCUUCGUUUGUUCUCCGCUAUUAGUGACUUUGGAGUGACUCUUUGUUGCAUGUUGAGGGAUACUUAUAUGAUCCAAUUAUGUUAUUAUUGUUGAGAGGACUUGCACUAGUGAAAGUAUGAACCCUAGGCCUUGUUUCAACGCAUUGCAAUACCAUUUACGCUCACUUUUAUCAUUAGUUACCUUGCUGUUUUUAUAUUUUCAGAUUACAAAAACCAUUAUCUACUAUCCAUAUUGCACUUGUAUCACCAUCUCUUCGCCGAACUAGUGCACUCAUACAAUUUACCAUUGCAUUGGGUGUGUUGGGGACACAAGAGACUCUUUGUUAUUUGGUUGCAGGGUUGCUUGAGAGAGACCAUCUUCAUCCUACGCCUCCCGUGGAUUGAUAAACCUUAGGUCAUCCAGUUGAGGGAAAUUUGCUACUGUCCUACAAACUUCUGCACUUUGAGGCCCAACAACGCCUACAAGAAGAAGGUUGUGUAGUAGACAUCAAGCUCUUUUCUGGCGCCGUUGCCGGGGAGGUGAGUGUUUGAAGGUAUAUCUUUAGAUCUUGCAAUCGAAUCUUUUAGUUUCUUGUUUUAUCACUAGUUUAGUUUAUAAAAGAAAACUACAAAAAAUGGAAUUGAGUUUGCCUCAUACGCUUCAUCUUUUUAAUAUCUUUCGUGAUAAUGAUGGAAAGAAAAAUUGUGCUCAAGUGCUCGAAGAAGAAGUCUAUAGAAUGUUUGGCACUAAAUUUUGGAUGAUGAGCAUGAUUGCAAUGUUAUUAGUAUGAUCUCUUUGAAUAUCCAUAGUACUAAUGAUGAUUGCACUAGUUAUGAUGAAAAUAUCUCUUUUAAGCAUGUAGAUUUUUGUGGAGUGCACAGAGUUUGCAAGUACAACCAAACAGGGAAGAUAGAUUUUGCAAGAGGCAUAAGUAUUUGGAAACUAAAUGGUUGCAAGAGAGGCUAUAUGUUAGUGCUGAAAAUUUAAAAUAUCUUAGCCGUACUUGUGAACUUUGCAAUGAACAUGGUCAUUUAAAUAUCAAAUGCAAAUUGUUUCAUGAUCGAAUCAUGUCCAAAAAUUGUGAUGACUUGAUUUCCCUUGCACAUCAUAAUGAACUUAGUUUUCUUUUGGGUGAUGAAGAAAUGAAAUGUCAAACUAAGCAUAUUCUAGAAUAUAACCUUGAGAAAUUCCUCGAUAUUGAUCUAGAAGAAAUUUAUAUGUAUUGUGCGAUGAAUUGCAUUGAAAAUCCUUAUAUUUCCAAUUACAUAAAGAAAAAAAAACAAAUAGAAGAUGAGGAGAAUACUAACGAAUGGGAAGAGAUUUCCCAGUAUUCUCCUAUUAUUUCUUAUGAUGAAUCAGGUAACGAGGAGGAGCCUUCUAUUCAACCAAUCUCAUUAACAAGGAGCUCCAAAAAGAGGAUUGAACCCACACAUGAUGUGAAGAAGAAAAAGAAAAGACAGAGAAGUAAAGGUAGAAAGGUAUCUCUCCCAAAUGAUGUUGCUCCUAUUUCUCAUUGUGAUGAUGAUAAUUUCUAUACUAUUGGUGCUAUCCAUACUAUUAAUGAUGAGAGUGAUUAUGCUUAUGAUAUGAAAAGGCCCAAGCUUGGGGAUGCUAUGUUUGAUGAAGAUGAUGUUUUUGAGAAUAUAUUUGCUGCAAUUAAUGUUUGUCCCAAGCUUGGGGAUGCUACGUUUAAUGAAGAUGAUAUUUUUAGUCUCCCAAGUUUUGAUAUGCAAAUUUAUAAUGAUGGUAGCAUGCCUCCUAUUUAUGAUGAUUAUAUUGGUGAAAGUGGGUUUGGAAGAGUGUCAACUUUAGGAGAUUGCAAUGAUACAUGCAACUAAAAUUUAUCUAGUCACAAUUCAUGUGUGGAAACCAAUGUAUGCAAAAAAAAAUGUUUUGCAGGUUUGAAAGAUAGGGGAGGGGGAGCUAAACCAGUGCCAUAGUGCCAAUUUUCAUAAUUUUUUCACAAUUGGUUAAUUAUAUGUGUCAUUAGGAUGGAAAUUGCCUUUCUUUACAUGUUGGGGUAGGGGGGGGGUACCACAAAUAAUCUAAUAGCAUGCAAUCUUGUUUGUAAAUUUUCCAUCUUUUUCAAAGAACAAAAUCCUUAAAUUUGUUGUCUUCUGACAAUUUUUACUUUCAUUGUUCGUGGGAGGUUUUGCUUUCAUGGGACCAUGGAAAGUUUUCUAUAUGAAACAUUACUAUUAAACAAUAUAUGCUACAAUUUUUUGUGUGUCCUGCAUGAUUAUAAUUUUUAGUCCACAUUUUUUAUAUCUUCAUGUAUGUAGUAAAAAUACCUUACAAAAUUAAUCCACAUUUUUUCUGCUAAUGUUCUUGAAAAUCAUAAGUAAAUUCUACCUCGUUCCCACUCGUCAAAUAAUACCAGCAGAUUUAAUCCACAUAUUUUACCACAGCAACUUAAAAUAUAACACCAUGGUAAUUUUUAUUAAUUAAAGCAUGAAAAAUUUUAUAAACUAGAGUAUAGCUAAGACAUGCCAUAUUUUUGACGACGUAGAAACAUAUACCACAAGGCAAUGUGUAUUAUGAAGGAAAUAUGCCCUAGAGGCAAUAAUAAAGUUAUUAUUUAUUUCCUUAUAUCAUGAUAAAUGUUUAUUAUUCAUGCUAGAAUUGUAUUAACCGGAAACAUGAUACAUGUGUGAAUACAUAGACAAACAGAGUGUCACUAUUAUGCCUCUACUUGACUAGCUCGUUGAUCAAAGAUGGUUAUGUUUCCUAGCCAUAGACAAAGAGUUGUCAUUUGAUUAAUGGGAUCACAUCAUUAGGAGAAUGAUGUGAUUGACUUGACCCAUUCCGUUAGCUUAGCACUUGAUCGUUUAGUUUGUUGCUAUUGCUUUCUUCAUAACUUAUACAUGUUCCUAUGACUAUGAGAUUAUGCAACUCCCGUUUACCGGAGGAACACUUUGUGUUCUACCAAACAUCACAACGUAACUGGGUGAUUAUAAAGAUGCUCUACAGGUGUCUCCAAAGGUACUUGUUGGGUUGUUGUAUUUCGAGAUUAGGAUUUGUCACUCCGAUUGUUGGAGAGGUACCUCUGGGCCCUCUCGGUAAUACACAUCACUUAAGCCUUGCAAGCAAUGCAACUAAAUGAGUUAGUUGCGGAAUGAUGUAUUACAGAACGAGUAAAGAGACUUGCCGGUAACGAGAUUGAACUAGGUAUUGAGAUACCGACGAUCGAAUCUUGGGCAAGUAACAUACCGGUGACAAAGGGAACAACGUAUGUUGUUAUGCGGUCUGACCGAUAAAGAUCUUCGUAGAAUAUGUAGGAGCCAAUAUGGGCAUCCAGGUCCCGCUAUUGGUUAUUGACCAGAGAGGUGUCUCGGUCAUGUCUACAUACUUCUCGAACCCGUAGGGUCCGCACGCUUAAAGUUCGUUGACGAUAUAGUACUAUAAGUUAUGUAUGUUGGUGACUGAAUGUUGUUCGGAGUCCGGGAUGAGAUCAUGCACACGAUGAGGAACUCCGGAAUGGUCCGGAGAUAAAGUUUGAUAUAUGGGAUAAUAGUGUUUGGUCACCGGAAGGGUUCCGGAAUUCACCGGAAGGGGUUCCGAAUGUUUCCCGAAAUGUUUGGGUACGAGAACACUUUAUUUUGCCCAAAGGGGAAAGCCCACAAGGUUUUUGGAAAAGACCAAAAGGAAGUUUUGCGGAGUCCAGGGGCCAGACGCCAGGUCCCUGGCGUUUGGGUCCAGACGCCGGGAACCCUGGCGUCUGGCCCUGGAGUCCGAGAAGGACUCUUACCUUUCGGAUGAAACCGACUUUGUGGAGGCUUUUACUCCAAGUUUCGACCCCAAGGCUCAACAUAUAAAUAGAGGGGUAGGGCUAGCACCCAAGACACAUCAAGAAACACCAAGCCGUGUGCCGGCAACCCCGUCCCCACUAGUUUAUCCUCCGUCCUAGUUUUCGUAGUGCUUAGGCGAAGUCCUGCGGAGAUUGUUCUUUACCAACACCGUCACCACGCCGUCGUGCUGCCGGAACUCAUCUACUACUUCGCCCCUCUUGCUGGAUCGAGAAGGCGAGGACGUCACCGAGCCGAACGUGUGCAGAACUCGGAGAUGCCGUUCUUUCGGUACUUGGAUCGGUCGGAUCGUGAAGAUGUACGACUGCAUCAACCGCGUUGAUAUAACGCUUCCGCGAACGGUCUACGAGGGUACGUAGACAACACUCUCCCCUCUCGUUGCUAUGCAUCACCAUGAUCUUGCGUGUGCGUAUGAAAAAAACAGAAAACACAUUUUUUCCGUUUCCGAAAGGCACAUCUCUCGUGGAAGAAAAACCGUGACUUUCGCGAAAGGAAAAAAAAAGAAAAUCCGUUUUUUCGCGCAAAAAAAAAUUUCGAAUUUUUUUUAUCGAAAAGGUAAGAAAGACCAGGGGAAAACCAAAACGUCGAAAAAACCCGGAAAAAAACGUUUAAAAAGACGAAAACACGUGCGGAAAAAUAAAAAAACAAAAUCCGAAGGGAGCGUCCAAAGUGCGACACGUGGUAAAUGGCUAAAAACGCAUCAAGUGGUGCUGAUCAUUGCGAUGCUCCCGAAGGAGCGCUCGUUAACUAGUUGCUCCCUCGUUUGAUAGAUUGACCCUACCCAGCUAACGGUUUGUUCGAUACAGGAGCCCCGCAUGCAGACGGAACGUUUGGGAGAUAUAAGGGUCCAUAAAUAAAGUAACAACACAAGCAUUUGUCUCAAAAAAGAAGGCAGUUGUUACAUUCUUCCUCCAUCGACUGCCUUUGCACCCGUAAAAAAGAAAAUAAAAACGCGCACGCUGCACCAGGAGGCGCGCCCCAAUCUCUAGUUGUACUCGGUUCACUUCACUAAUAAUCAUAGGAUACUGGAAACACAAAAUUAGUACAGUAGCAGAAAAAAAGGAGGACGUAUGAAGCCUUGACAGUAAGAUAAAAUCCAAACUUAUGCAGGCAUGGUUCAACGGGAGCGUCCAGCAGGGCCACCUUGUUGGAACCGUUCUCUUACACGGAUGAAUGAAGGUAGAAAAAGGAGGAGCACACAGUACACUGGAGUUUCAUCCGACUUCACAGCCCCGUUAUUAUUCAGAGCUCCAACUGCCUCACGGCUACAGGCACAAGCACAACACUUAAGUAGAAGAUGCACGCGCACAGCUCAUCGACCACACCGGCCACUAAUCUAUGCACCUACGCAGGACCCGGCCUCACAACCGGCCACUAACCGCACGUACUCAUCCACUCCUAGAAAAGCUCACCUAGCUAACUAACUCAGCCUUGCAUGUAGGAGUAGCAAACUUGGCCAGCACACUCGCCAACGGCCUGCUCUACGUGCCAGACUGAGUACACACGCUACACACAUAUGCCACGUUGUUGUGUCUCGCACGUUCCGUCCGUCCCGCGCGCCACCGACGCGCCCGACGGCAUCAGUGUGUCCCGCGCGCAUCCGACGCGCCCGACGAGCCCGACCACACAUGCCAUGGCUUAUUCCAACACACACUCCCUAAGCCACGACCUAGAGGAGUCCGUCGUCGUCGACGUUGUAGCCGCCACCACCCUGAUGUCGCUGCCAAGCCUGCCACCGUGCCGCCGUGCCCUUCGCGCGCAGUCCCCACGUCCCCGCACUCCCGCCGCGCACGUACGUGAUCUGCGCAACCAGGUCCAGCGCCUCGACGCGGUCCACUCCCGCGGUCCCGACGCGCCCGACGCGUCUGGUGCGCACGCAUAACACGCACCGGUCGCGCCCGGCUCGCCGCCGCGCUUAUUGCCCUGCACCGUUGCGCCGUCAACCGCAGCGCAGCGCCUCCACGGUCAUCGCGCCGAGCCGCCGCGGCCUCUGCGACACCACGCAGGUCCUCCGCGACCUCCUCGUCUCCGCAAACGCUGCUCGUCGUGCGCACGGCAUCACGCCACACCGCCGUGGACUCGCCGCGCGUUGCCGAUGCCACGCGCUCGCCGCGCGCCCGGCAUCACGCCACACCGCCGUGGACUCGUCGCGCGAUGCGGACGCCACGCGCUCGCCGUGCACCGUUGCCAAGACCUUCAUAUCCGCCGCGCACCGCGGGCACCGCGGACGCCGCCGCGCGCCACGGCCGUUGUAGCUUAUUCCAACACACCUUACUCAAUUCUCAGAUCAGGCAGUUGGAGCAGCGGCGGUGGCCCCUUCCUCAGCGGACAUGUUUUUGAUCUUGCCCUUGCCCUUGGGCCUGCCAGCGGCGACAGCGCCGGCGAAGCCGGGGCCGAGUAGCUUGGGACACAAGAGCGGCGCGCUGAUCCCCAUGAUGGAGACCGUAAAGGGGCGCGCAACGACGACCUUGAAGAGCUUGGCGACACUUUCGGCGCCUGGGGAGCGUAGGUACAUCUGGCCGUCCUUGUCCAUGGAAUAGUCGAUGGUGCCUUGUCCUUAUCCAUGUUGGAGAGCAUGAUCUCCAGCUUGGCAACAUUGGUCUUCAUCUCGCCCAGCUGGAUGGGGUCAAAAUACUUGAUGAGCACAUGAUGCAGGAGGAUUGUCCGCUGCUUUGCGGCCGGCACCGCCACGAGUGGCUUUAUGGCCUUCUCGGGGACGACCAGCACGGACGCCGCCUUGAGCCGGCUCACGUCAUCACUACUAGGGAAAAGCUCAGCAGUAGCGCAGGUUUUGGGUGUAUCAGUAGCGCGGGGCGCCCGCGCUACUAAUACGGCGCCACAGCUAACUUGUAGCAGUAGCGCGUGUUGACACGUGCUACUGCUAUACAUAGUUAGCUGUAGUGUGCGUUGCAGUACAACGCUACUGCUAAUUAUCUGUAGCGGGUCUUAUACCCCGCGCUACUACUAUUACAUUCAAAAGAAAAAGAUAUAUCGAUCCCGUGCGUGUUGUUAAUGGCAGCAGUUGUUCGAUCCAGCAAUGGUUGGGGUCGCCGGAGGCAUGAACGAGCAGCGGCAGACCAGAUCUGGCAGUGGCUGUUGCAGGAGGGCCUGUUUCCAUGGAAGAGCAAGGCAGCGGCGUGGGGCUCCUCUUCCCGACCAUGCCAGAUAUGGUCGUCCAUGGCGACUACCUGCACGGGCAUGGACAUGGGAUUGUGAGUCAAACCAAAGGGAGAGAGAGAGAGAGAGAGAGAAAACCAAGGGAGAGAGGAAGGAGAUGGAGGGAGUAGCGGGGCUGGUCACCGGUGGUUAGGUCUCCGGCGUGGUGGCGCGAGGCGGCGGCCUCCUAGACGCCGGUGGAAGACCGGCGAGCUCCUAGACACCAGUGGCGCGAGGCGGCGCCCUCUUUCGAUGCCAUGGAGGAGGAGGGCGCAUGGGCAAGAGGUNNNNNNNNNNNNNNNNNNNNNNNNNNNNNNNNNNNNNNNNNNNNNNNNNNNNNNNNNNNNNNNNNNNNNNNNNNNNNNNNNNNNNNNNNNNNNNNNNNNNNNNNNNNNNNNNNNNNNNNNNNNNNNNNNNNNNNNNNNNNNNNNNNNNNNNNNNNNNNNNNNNNNNNNNNNNNNNNNNNNNNNNNNNNNNNNNNNNNNNNNNNNNNNNNNNNNNNNNNNNNNNNNNNNNNNNNNNNNNNNNNNNNNNNNNNNNNNNNNNNNNNNNNNNNNNNNNNNNNNNNNNNNNNNNNNNNNNNNNNNNNNNNNNNNNNNNNNNNNNNNNNNNNNNNNNNNNNNNNNNNNNNNNNNNNNNNNNNNNNNNNNNNNNNNNNNNNNNNNNNNNNNNNNNNNNNNNNNNNNNNNNNNNNNNNNNNNNNNNNNNNNNNNNNNNNNNNNNNNNNNAUGGCGACUACCUGCACGGGCAUGGACAUGGGAUUGUGAGUCAAACCAAAGGGAGAGAGAGAGAGAGAGAGAGAAAACCAAGGGAGAGAGGAAGGAGAGGGAGGGAGUAGCGGGGCUGGUCACCGGUGGUUAGGUCUCCGGCGUGGUGGCGCGAGGCGGCGGCCUCCUAGACGCCGGUGGAAGACCGGCGAGCUCCUAGACACCAGUGGCGCGAGGCGGCGCCCUCUUUCGAUGCCAUGGAGGAGGAGGGCGCAUGGGCAAGAGGUCAAUGUGAGAACGUAUGGAGAGAGAGAGAGAGAGGAGAGAGUGGCGGAAGAGAGGAGGGAUUUGGGGGAGGGGGAGGACGGGUGGGGAAAAGAUGGUGGGUGUGGAUUAGCAGUAGCGCGGUACGUAAAACGCGCUGCUGCUAAGAAAGUAGCAGCAGCGCGCUUUCAGUACAAGCGCUACAGCUAACCGGGGCCAAAAGUGUGCCCGAUUUAAAAAUUAGCAGCAGCGACCUCAGAAAAACCGCGCUACUGCUACAGCUAUAGCAGUAGCGCGGCUGGCGGCACCGCGCUGCUGCUAAAUGGAGUUGGGUGGGCACUAUCGCUCGAUAUUUGUAGCAGCACGGGUUACGCCGAGCGCGCUACUGCUAAGCACUUGUCAGUAGCGGGUUUUCCACACCCGCGCUACUGCUAAUUAGUAGCAGCGCUCCUUUUUGAGCCGCGCUGCUGCUAAGAUUCUGUGUAUAGAGUUUUCCCUAGUAGUGCAUCGGUGACCUUUAUCUCCUUCGGGAGCCACGGGAAGGUCGCAUAAAGCCACUCUUGGCGGUGCCGACCUUUGUAUCAUGGCAGAAAUAAUUUAUAUACAUGGCAUUUUUCUUAUACAAAGAAUGACAAUUAUAAGGAAAAAUAGAAUGGAAAUUUUAAAUAUGCAUCUACCAUGGCAACUUUGUUCAUAUUUUCAAUACGCCACUACAAUGUACAUACAUGGCAUUUUUCUUACACAAAUCAUGACAAUUAUAAGAAAAAAAUAGAAUGGAAAUUUUUUAAUAUGCAUCUACCAUGGCAACUUUGUUCAUACACUUCCCUCUAUUAGCUAGCUAACUCAAUAUAUGAAACCACUAAAUUAACCCUUCAAAACCCCCUAACCCCCCCCCCUUUCAAAAAAAAAAAACAUAACCCGCUGCUCCAGCCAGCUCCUGACGCGUGGAUGCCUUUUGGUCCUGGUUGGUGUUACCAACCGGGACUAGAGGUCCUCUGCCUAGGCGCCCCGCAACGGCCACGUGGAACCCUUUCUGUCCCGGUUCGUAAGCGAACCAAGAUUAAUGGUUUUGGGCUUUAGUCCCGACCCUUUAGUCCCGAUUCCAGAACCGGGGCUAAAGGGCCUCUGGAACCGGGGCUAAUGGGCCGUUUUCUACUAGUGUGUCUAGUUCAUUAACCAUGUCAUGGCAAAAAAGUUAUGUGGAUUAAGAUAUGCCAAAAUUUUCAAAAAUGCAUGCCUCAUACAUCAAAUCAAGAUUUGAGAUAUUUCAUGGAAUUUAUCACAUGACAAACAUGUAUGAAAAUUUGAUGUUCAUAACAUUUUAUCCUUUUUAAGAGUAGGGAAAAUUUUACUUUGUGGCAUGGCAAAUUAACCUAUUUCCAUGGCAAGUUUACUUUUAUUGCCAUGAAAAGUUUUUCCUUUUUUUAUUUUCCAUGGAAAUUUUAUCUUUACCAUAUAUGGGAAUUUUUAAUUUAAUUGCUCAUGAAAAAUUUACCUUUUUUGCCGUGGAAAAUUUACUUAUAGUGCCCUGUAAAUUUAAUUUACAUCCAUGAAAAUUUUAGUUUCAUCGUUUGUGGGAUUCUUUGCAUGCAUGGGACCACGUUAAUUUUUCUAUAUGAAACAUGAAAAAUUACUAUUAAACAAUAUAUGGUACACUUUUUGUGUUCUACGUGAUGGCAAUUUUUAAUCCACAUAUUUUGUGCCUUCAUGUACGUUGUCAAACACCUUACAAAAAUAAUCCACAUUUUCUGUGCUAACGUUUUUAAAAUCAUAGGUAAAUUCUAACUCGCCCCACCCGUGAAAUAAUACCUGAAGAUUUAAUCCUCAUGUUUUACCACGACAACUUAAAAUACACCACCAUGGUAAUUUUUAUUAAUUAAAGCAUGAAAAACUUUAUAAACUAGAGUAUGGCCAACACAAGGUAGAAACAUAUACCACAAGGCCAAUGCAUAUUAUAUCCUCACCAAAUUGCUAUGCGUUACAUAUUUUUGCGUAUUUUUUCCUCUGCAUUUUUUUGUGGUCUCAACAGUUUUAGGAUGCGGUGUUUUGAAUCUACAGUAAGACAUGGCAAAUACUAGGUUUUCCUAGUCGUGCCAGUGCAAGAGGGACAUCUUUUCGGCCAGCGUUAAUAAGGCUUGUUUUUUGGGCUACUACUUGGCACGUUUUUGGCCCAGCGUUGGAUUGAUGCAACCUCUAUUAGUGAGCGAUGGGGUGUUUGGUCACGCUGUUCGAUUGAUCGACCCUACCCAGCCAACGGUUGGUUCGGUACAGGAGAUAUCAGGGUCCAUAAAAUCAAAUUAACAUCACAAGCAGUUGUCUCAAAAAAUAAGGCAGUUGUUACAUUCUUCCUCGAUUGACUGCCUUUGCACCCAAAAAAAUGCGCACACUGCACAGGAUGCGCGCCCCAACCUCUAGUUGUACUUGGUUCACUUGACUCAUAAUCAUAGGAAACUGGAAACACAAAGUUAAUACAGUAGCAGAAAAAAGAAGAUGUAUGGAGCCUUGACAUUAAGAUAAAAUCCAAAGUUGUGCACGCAUGGUUCAACGGGGCGUCCUGGAGGGCCACCUUAACCAGCACCUUCAGCUCCAAAUAUAAAAUGCUCGAUGGGAGGGGUAUGUCACGUUGGGGGAUCGUGCUGGAGGGUUUCGCCUAGCAAACGAAAUCGUUCAAUGGAUCGACUGCUGACGGUGUGUUCGGUAUUCCCUAAAAAAACUGUGUGUUCGGUACAGGAGCCCCGCAGACGGAACGUUCGGGAGAUACCAGGGUCCAUAGAAAAAGCAACAACAAAAGUAGUUGUCUCAAAAAGAAGGCAGUUGUUACAUUCUUCCUCGAUCUGACUGCCUUUGCACCAAACAAGAAAAAAACACGCACGCUGCACAGGAGGUGCGCCCCAACCUCUAGUAGUACUGCGAUUCACUUCACUAAUAAUCAUAGGAUACUGGAAACACAAAAUUAGUACAGUAGCAGAAAAGAAGAAGAUGUAUGAAGCCUUGGCAUUAAGAUAAAAUCCAAAGUUGUGCGCGCAUGGUUCAACGGGGGACCUGCAGGGCCACCUUACUCAAUUCUCAGAUCAGGCAGUUGGAGCCGCGGCGGUGGCCCCUUCCUCAGCGGACAUGGUUUUGAUCUUGCCCUUGCCCUUGCCCUUGGGCCUGCCAGCGGCAGCGCCGGCGGCGCCAGGGCCGAGUAGCUUGGGGCACAAGAGCGGCGCGCUGAUCUCCAUGAUGGAGAUGGUGAAGGGGCGCGCGGCGACGACCUUGACGAGCUUGGCGACACUGUCGGCGCCUGGGGAGCGUAGGUACAUCUGGCCGUCCUUGUCCUUGGAGUAGUCGAUGGUGCCCAUGUCCUCAUCCGUGUUGGAGAGCAUGGUCUGGAGCUUGGCAACGUUGGUCUUCAUCUCGCCCAGCUGGAUGGGGUCGAAAUACUUGAUGAGCACAUGAUGCAGGAGGAUCGUCCUCUGCUUGGCGGCCGGCACCGCCAAGAGUGGCUUCACGGUCUUCUCGGUGACGACCAGCACGGAAGCCGACUUGAGGCGGCUCACGUCAUCGGCGACCUUUGUCUCCUUCAGGAGCCUCAGGAAGGUCGCGUACUGGGGUUUUCCGGCGAGCAGCUGCACCACAUCGAUGGCAGCCAGCGACGCUGGCGUCGCCGCGGCGAGCAGGAGGAUUGCGACAAGGACUUUGGACGCCAUCGUGGUUGAUUGUGGAUAUGAUGGUGAUGAUCUAGAUGUAUGGCUCAUUAUAAAGAAUGGGGUUGCAGCUAUAUUUGUGGAAGAGGUUGUUUCCUCCAAACAUUCUGCGGACGGCCAGGCAUUGGUUCCGGGUAAUUUCACACCCUGGUUUCUAUUAAUGGAAAUCGAAGGUGAGGCCUCUCUUUCUUCAAAAAAAUAAAUAUGCAUUGGAUCUCAUAUUGUGGCCACUUCACAUCUAUACCCCGGUUCUCCGUCCUUUACGUGUUUAUUUAUAGCUAUUACUAAAGAAGGGGAUGUGGACUUGGAGUUUUAAUCUAGUUCAAGAUUUUAUAUUGCAUUUCUAUGCGGUUCAAGAUUUUGUAUUUGCAUUUCCAUAUCCUUUAUCACUUCUAUAUUGAUGUACUACAUUAUUCCUGAUUAUUAUUUUUAAAUUUUUGGUACGAUUGUUUUUUAAAAACUAACUUAAGAUUAGGGGAUCCCAUAUUGCGGCCACAUCACAUCUAUACACAGUUCUCCGUCCUUUACGUGUUUAUUUAUAGAUGUUAUUACUAAAGAAGGGGAGUGGACGUGGCGUUUUUAUCUAAUUCAAGAUUAUGUAUUUGCAUUUCUAUGUGGUUCACGAAUCUGUAUUUGCAUUUCUAUAUCGUUAGCACUUCUAUAGUGCUGUACUACAUUCGGUGGGACCAUCCGUGGGCAGUGCAGGCUGCAGGUGGGAGUUAAGGGGUGAACUUAAGGACACAACGAUUCGGUGCCCAGGUGCAUGAACAGUACAAUCAGUUGCAGCGUUAGCAGUGCAAACACGUCUGUUUUCCUAGCGGAGCUAGCCGUUGUAUGCAGCAAAGUGAUCGGCCAAAGAACGACCAUGCACACGGCCAAAGAGCAGUGUGUUACCAUUAGCAUGCAUAAGAAAGGAAGCUUGUACUAAGUGAACUCCGUUGAACGACCAUGACCAAAAAGGGCACUCGGCAGCAUGGCGUAUCCGACGGCAUAGCUGCACGAGGACGGGCGGCUUGGCCUUGUUCUGCGUCACCAUCGAGGUGUGGCAGAGCUGCACAUGUAGCAGAUGGGACAACGGCGAGCCAUAAGAGCAUCUCCAGCCGUUGGCCCCUCAGGGGGCGUGUAAAAGCGCCGCCUGGGGGUGAGCCGGCGCAAAAAAUGGCCCUGGGGCGAGUCGAUCCCCACCCGUCGGCCCCAGGGUCGCCCCAGGCGCGUAUUAAAAUAAAAAAAGGAGGACCGUUCGGCGAAGUUAUGAUAAAAACUAGUUAAAUUUCGGCCAAACAUGGCAAGUUUCGAUGAAAUUCGUACAUUUUCAUUACAUUAACCUAAUCUAAAAAAGAAAGGGGCUGAAGUUGUCGCCGCCGUCGCCGCCAUCGUCGUCGCCGGCCUUCUCCUCCUUGACACGGGCGCCCCUGCUAGACCCCUGCCCGGCGUCGCCAUGGCGGACUGGCGGCGGCGCGUCGUCGUCGUCGCUGUCGCAUAAGACGACGACCCCGUCUUCAUCGCGGCCGCGUCGGCGCUCCUCGAAGCGGCGCAGGGCGGCGCGCUGGCGCUCCUUCUCCUUCUCCCGAUGCGCCUUCUCCAUCGCAAUGGAGUCCUGGCACGCCCAUUCUAGGGCCGCGUCGUCGUCGUCGAACUCCGCCUUCACCGGCACCAGCCCCGGCUCCAACUUUGGCUUGACGAAGCGCGGAGGAGCCGACGAGGAGGAGGAGCGCCGGCCACCCUCGUUGAUGAGAUGCCGACGCUGCGAGUGCGCCGACCGAUUGGCGUCUCCGCCGCGGGCUCGGCCUUGACGCCGAGAAGCGCCGGUGUUGCGACGGGGCGGCCCCCAUCGCAGGAUAGGUCAACGGCGGGUUGUUGCCGUCGUCGAGGUACGCCAGCACGCCAUCCAGUGUGCGGCCGGGGACGCCCCACCACAAGUGGCACCCCUCGCUGUUCUUCACGCCGCCGACCACCGCCGCGCCAUUGGUGGAGGCCAGGCGCUGCUGCUGGCGGCGCCGGAAGUACGCCGCCCAAGCCGCGUGAUUGCCGGCGGCGUACAGGGGGAGGGAGCGCUCGUCGUCGGUCAGGGAGGCGCGUGCGACCUCGACCUCCUCGGCGAAGUACCUGGGCUUCGCCACGGCGUCGGGUAACGGGGGAACGGGCACUCCCCCGUCGGCCCAGCGCGCAUGUCCGGCGGCGCCGGGAUGUUCGCCUGGAACAGGAGACAGGACUCCUGUUCGCGGAGCGAACGGUGGCCGAAGCCGUUCGCCGCCGCCUCAUCUCCGGGGAAGCGCUCUGCCAUGGCGACGGGCUCGGCGGUGGUAGAGAGGGAGAGAGAGGGGCUGCCGGUGGCGCUCGGGGGAGGAAGACGGAGACGGAGAGAGAGGGGCUGGGCGGCGGCGAGGGGCGAGUCUGGUGUGGGCACAGGCGACCGCCGGCUUUUAUAACCGCUCCGCGCCCGUGUGUACGCGUGCGAGGGAGGGGAGGCGUCGGCGCACCGUCCCGUGAGGCAAGGCUGAUCGGCGGCAGCCUUGCCAUUGAUUCCCCGCGGGAACCGAGGCAUUUGGGGGAAGACGAGCCGCCGUGUCCCUGACGCGGCUGGCCUGCGGCUUUUUCGCGCCAAAACAGUUCGCCCUGGCGCCCCCGGGCACCCCCCAGCGCGCCGGGUUCGGCCUGGGUCCGCCGGCGCUGUUUUGGCCCAGGCCGGCGAAAAUCGGGCUCCUGGGAGUGCGACUGGGCUAUUUUUUUCGGCGCCGACGCAAAAGAAAACACCUGAGGAGGCCUUCCUGAGGACGCGGCUGGAGAUGCCCUAAGGAAAGGCCUACAAGCAGCACCGGUGAGUUGUCCAUCCCAGCACGAGCGGAGCUGAACGACAUACAUGAAAGGGAACCGCGUGUCGGCAACUACAAGGACGAGACGAAUAUUUUUUAUGGAGGGACGGGAGUCGUUGAGAAUAGCAGGGAAGAAGAUAAUGACAUGCGACGCCAUUUUUUUCAUCUGCGACGAUUUUAAAAAGAGGUCCUAGGUCCUUUUUAUAAUAUAGAAGAAAACAGUGUAUGAGAGGAGAUUUUUUCACACUGGCUUACUUGCAUCUGUGACUUAUAAAUAAUAAUUUUAUUAUUAUAUUGGAUGUAUGGGAGGAGAUUUGUGGCACCUGCGCUGCCAUUGCUCCCACAUUUAGGGCUGUUGUAGACUGCUCAUCCACCUCAUGAUUCAGAAAGGUGAAAAGGUUAUGUGCAUGGUGUUAAAAUAUAUUGCCCGUGUUCUUUCAUCAGUUCAGACUUUUGGAUGAGUUGGCUAGAGCAUUAAUUCAAUAUUGUAUCAGAGUCCAGAGGUCUUGAGUUCAAGACCCUGCUAAUGCAAUAUUAAAAUAAAAAUGAUUAUGCGGCCUACAUCGAUCACACGUCUAAGGACUAAAAUAGUCUAGACCUGAGGGGAGAUGCUCCAUCCAUCCUAUCUCUCAUACUUUUUCAUUUGACUUUCAAUUUUCAAUUUAUUAUAUAUUUGAGCUGAAAGUUUAAUUUAUGUUGUGUUUGCAUAUUCAUGAUCCUUGUGAUGAGGGCUUUGAAAUAAGAUCAUUGAAUAACCUAUGACAAUUUUUAAUUUGAACCAAGCUUCAAACUAUGAAAACUUGAUAAGAACGAAUGAUCCACCAACAGAUGCGGUUGCUCGUAGGCAGGCGGACCAGACGGGCCUUAGAACACGUGUCACUGUCACACACUCUCCAUGCCACCACCCUGCCUCCCGUGGUAGAAGAGGAAUAACCUACUGGUGCCGCUGCUACCGGAGCCACCGCCCGCACCUCAACACGACACCCAAAGAGCUCGCUGCACCUCUGCCAUCACCAGCCCCUCUAGCACCGGGAGAGAGAGAGAGAGAGAGAGAGAGAGAGAGAGAGAGAGAGAGAGAGAGAGAGAGAGAGAGAGCCCUGCUGCUAUCUAUCGCUGGAAGGGGCUUUCCCCCAUCCUUCGGCUCCGGCAAGGGAGUAAUGGGGGAGGAUUUUUGCUCGGUGGCAGUUACAGUUUCGCUGCUCUAGUUGCCCCUGGCAGUGUAGAUGUUUUGUGUUCUUUUUAUUUUGGAAAUGAUAUAUAGCAAACGUCCCACAGGAGCGUAAAUUUUUUUUUUUUGAGCGAACGGUCUAUGGGACAAUCGAUCCUGAGUGCGAAUCUCAACGUGGUGAUAUGUGGCAAUCGCGGUGGGGCAAUGUUUGCUCAAAGUCUGCACAUGGCAUCGUUCGCUCGCAGGAGGCUCCAGAGCGAACAACAUCGUUUACGAGAGGCUCCUAGAAAGCGCGAUAAUUUGUUCCACAGAAACUAGGGGAGCACGUUCUCUCCUUAUUAAGGUCCUUUCUUUUUCACUUCAACUAUACCGUGACCGAUGGGCCAUUUAGUGGCGCGUCAGCUGAAAAUGAUGCUAUGGUGCCGAACUACGCGUCGACGGGUGAUGCACGCUGCAUGACUUUGAUAGCUGACUUCUCUGGUCAAUAGAUAAAAGACGAAAGAGGAAGAUUUUUUCGUCACUAUGGGCCACUGACGCUGUUCUCAAGCCAGCGGAACUUUUCCAAGGUUGACGGACGGCAGACUUUGACCCAUAGUCUCCAAGACCGUACCACUACCGUAUCUUAUAAUACAAGGCUAGUCACAACGUUGUACUAUGCAGCUAGAGAGGAUCAUGGAGCGCUCUUCUUCUUCCAUGGCACGCGGUGUCGUCCUCCUGGCACUCAUCUGCUGUUGGUUAGCAUGCUCGGCGGCGGCCCAAGGUAACUAAUAAACCACUACUCGCAGCUCAGUUGCCGGAUUAGGAUGAUGAUUGAUGAUACAUGCAGUUGUUCCGGACGGACGCCGUGAGCCAAGGACUCCGCCGUCGCCACUGCCCGGGAACCAGAACCCGGUGGAGGCUCCGGCCGAGAUUGCGUCUCCACCACCGCCCUUGAAGACAACGGCGCUUGCGCCGCACCGCAAGACCCUGCAGCAGGCUGUUUCGAGCGUUCCUCAUCUAUGAAGCACUGUCCCUCCGAUAUGUUCUUGUCUAUGCAUGUACUAUUGCUGAUGGUGCAAAUUAAGGAAAUAAAUAUAGGGUGUGACUAGGGCACAUCUAGAUGUGACAUAACUAUGUGACAUCUACGAGCCAGUUUCUCGUUGCCGCACAUAGCGCAGGCCUUCGCCACUGAGCCGGCUCACUGUACACACCCAAGUGCGUUGUGUUUGAGCACGCAAAGUCAUAAAAAAUGCAGCGCGUAAAGCUUAAGAGUACCAUGUGUCCCACUUUCUUUUGUUAGCAUAAAACACGACAAAUUAAGAAACAUACGUGGAUGCCUAUAGGUUUAGAAACGGAUGUAGUCAAGGUGAGAGCUUGUAGUUUAGUCCAGUACGUGUAAAGCUCGACAGAUGAUUAGCAUUUGUGAACAAUUUUUAAAAAGGAUCAUUGUUUUAAAUAUUUGUACUUUUUUUAAAACCCCAAUCAUUUUUCUAAACUUGCGAGCAUUUUUUAAAAAACGUGAACUUAAUUUGAUAUUUUUGACCAUUUUUUAGAAACCCAAAUAACUUUUGAAAAAACAAAAUAUUUUUUCAAAUUCCAAACACUUUUUGAAACAGAAAAUGAAUAAUAAAAAUAAAAUUAGAAAUUAUUGUUUCAAAGAAAAAAGUAAAAAGGAAACAAAAUCUGGUGAAGAAAAAACAAAAAAGGAAUAAACCAGGAAAAACUGUGAAGAGAACAAACAAACAAACCACAACAGUGUUCCUUUUUCGUAAAUAGUCCCCAAUUCUCUUUUUCAUAAAUAGUCCCCAGUUCUCUUAAAAAAUAUGUGUGGGCGAAGGGCCAAAAGACACAUGCAUGAACAAACUUGUAAUCUAUAUGUAUAUUUACAAAACUACUUCACUAAUUUGAUGUAAAUCCUAUUUACAAAAGUAAAUGAAAGAUGAAAAUAUGGCCAUGCAUUGAAUGAAGAAAAAUGUUUGUGUAUGUAUACAUAAAUGUUCAUGCAAUUUUUAGAAGUGCUCAUGCUCUUUUUAAAAGUGUUGACAUAUUUUCACAAUACGUGUGCAUGAUGAACAUUUUCAACAUACAUAGAAAACAUUUUCUAGAAAAACACCGUUAAUAUAUUUUAAAUAGGAUGAGCGUUUUUUUAGAACAAGGCAAUUUUUAUAAAAAAAUGAUGAACAUUUUAUAAAUACACGAUGAACAUUUUUUUAAACACCGUGAACAUUUUCGAAAACACAAAAAUCGCAUGGUGGAGGAAAAUCAAAAGGGGGAAAAAGAUAAGCUAAGGGUGGAGAUGCAACUGAGUCCGGGCAAGUUGUGUCUCAAGAGUGUACAAACAACUGGGCCGGGCAAGUUUGGUGUCGAGGGUGGACACGGAACUGGGUUGGGGUCGGGGCAAAGUGCAUGUUGAUGGUGGACAUGCAACUGGAUCAGGUUAGGACAAGUUGUGCAUCGAUGGUCGACAAACAACUAGGCAAGGCAAGUAGCAUGUCGUGGACGGACAUGCAACUGGGUCGGGCGAGUUGUGUGUCUAGGGUGGACAUGCAACUUAGUCGAGUCGGCAAGUUGCGACUCGAUGUUGGACUUACAACUGAGACAACUACACAAAGCUACGAGACCAGUUGAGAGCCGAUGGUGAACUGCAUCUAGGAAAACUAUGAGCCUAGUUGCGAGUCGAGGGUGGACUUGCAACUGGGACGAAAAACAAACUACACUCCUAGUUGCAAGUCGAGGGUGGACUUGCAACUGGGUUAAAAACAAACUAUGGGUCUUGUUACGAGUCGGGGUGGACUUGCAACAGGGAUUAAAAAUAAACUAUAUGCCCAGUUCCGAGUCGAGAGUGGACUUGUAACCGGGAUGAAAAACAAACAAACUAUGGGCCCAGUUGUAUGUCGAUGAUGGACUUGCAAUUAGCACUACAUAGAACUACGAUACCAGUUGCGAGUCGAGGAUGGACUUGCAGCUGGGGGCCUCGACAAAUACACACACAUCCUAGUUGUGAGUCGAUGUUCGGCUUGCAACUGGGGACACUCGACACACACACACACACACACACACACACACACACACACACACACANNNNNNNNNNNNNNNNNNNNNNNNNNNNNNNNNNNNNNNNNNNNNNNNNNNNNNNNNNNNNNNNNNNNNNNNNNNNNNNNNNNNNNNNNNNNNNNNNNNNNNNNNNNNNNNNNNNNNNNNNNNNNNNNNNNNNNNNNNNNNNNNNNNNNNNNNNNNNNNNNNNNNNNNNNNNNNNNNNNNNNNNNNNNNNNNNNNNNNNNNNNNNNNNNNNNNNNNNNNNNNNNNNNNNNNNNNNNNNNNNNNNNNNNNNNNNNNNNNNNNNNNNNNNNNNNNNNNNNNNNNNNNNNNNNNNNNNNNNNNNNNNNNNNNNNNNNNNNNNNNNNNNNNNNNNNNNNNNNNNNNNNNNNNNNNNNNNNNNNNNNNNNNNNNNNNNNNNNNNNNNNNNNNNNNNNNNNNNNNNNNNNNNNNNNNNNNNNNNNNNNNNNNNNNNNNNNNNNNNNNNNNNNNNNNNNNNNNNNNNNNNNNNNNNNNNNNNNNNNNNNNNNNNNNNNNNNNNNNNNNNNNNNNNNNNNNNNNNNNNNNNNNNNNNNNNNNNNNNNNNNNNNNNNNNNNNNNNNNNNNNNNNNNNNNNNNNNNNNNNNNNNNNNNNNNNNNNNNNNNNNNNNNNNNNNNNNNNNNNNNNNNNNNNNNNNNNNNNNNNNNNNNNNNNNNNNNNNNNNNNNNNNNNNNNNNNNNNNNNNNNNNNNNNNNNNNNNNNNNNNNNNNNNNNNNNNNNNNNNNNNNNNNNNNNNNNNNNNNNNNNNNNNNNNNNNNNNNNNNNNNNNNNNNNNNNNNNNNNNNNNNNNNNNNNNNNNNNNNNNNNNNNNNNNNNNNNNNNNNNNNNNNNNNNNNNNNNNNNNNNNNNNNNNNNNNNNNNNNNNNNNNNNNNNNNNNNNNNNNNNNNNNNNNNNNNNNNNNNNNNNNNNNNNNNNNNNNNNNNNNNNNNNNNNNNNNNNNNNNNNNNNNNNNNNNNNNNNNNNNNNNNNNNNNNNNNNNNNNNNNNNNNNNNNNNNNNNNNNNNNNNNNNNNNNNNNNNNNNNNNNNNNNNNNNNNNNNNNNNNNNNNNNNNNNNNNNNNNNNNNNNNNNNNNNNNNNNNNNNNNNNNNNNNNNNNNNNNNNNNNNNNNNNNNNNNNNNNNNNNNNNNNNNNNNNNNNNNNNNNNNNNNNNNNNNNNNNNNNNNNNNNNNNNNNNNNNNNNNNNNNNNNNNNNNNNNNNNNNNNNNNNNNNNNNNNNNNNNNNNNNNNNNNNNNNNNNNNNNNNNNNNNNNNNNNNNNNNNNNNNNNNNNNNNNNNNNNNNNNNNNNNNNNNNNNNNNNNNNNNNNNNNNNNNNNNNNNNNNNNNNNNNNNNNNNNNNNNNNNNNNNNNNNNNNNNNNNNNNNNNNNNNNNNNNNNNNNNNNNNNNNNNNNNNNNNNNNNNNNNNNNNNNNNNNNNNNNNNNNNNNNNNNNNNNNNNNNNNNNNNNNNNNNNNNNNNNNNNNNNNNNNNNNNNNNNNNNNNNNNNNNNNNNNNNNNNNNNNNNNNNNNNNNNNNNNNNNNNNNNNNNNNNNNNNNNNNNNNNNNNNNNNNNNNNNNNNNNNNNNNNNNNNNNNNNNNNNNNNNNNNNNNNNNNNNNNNNNNNNNNNNNNNNNNNNNNNNNNNNNNNNNNNNNNNNNNNNNNNNNNNNNNNNNNNNNNNNNNNNNNNNNNNNNNNNNNNNNNNNNNNNNNNNNNNNNNNNNNNNNNNNNNNNNNNNNNNNNNNNNNNNNNNNNNNNNNNNNNNNNNNNNNNNNNNNNNNNNNNNNNNNNNNNNNNNNNNNNNNNNNNNNNNNNNNNNNNNNNNNNNNNNNNNNNNNNNNNNNNNNNNNNNNNNNNNNNNNNNNNNNNNNNNNNNNNNNNNNNNNNNNNNNNNNNNNNNNNNNNNNNNNNNNNNNNNNNNNNNNNNNNNNNNNNNNNNNNNNNNNNNNNNNNNNNNNNNNNNNNNNNNNNNNCUUGCAACUAAGGACCCUCGACAAAUACACACACCCCUAGUUACGAGUCGAUGGUCGACAUGCAGCUGGGGACCCUCGACAAACACACAUUCCCCUAGUUGCGAGUCUAUGAUUGACAUACAGCUCGGGGCACCGACAAACACACACUACCCUAGUUGUAAGUCGAUGGUCGGCUUGCAACUGGGGACCCUCAACAAACACACAUUCUCCUAGUUGCAAGUCGAACAUCGGCUUGCAACUAGUGACCGUCGACACACACACACACACACACACACACACACACCUUUAGUUGUGAGUCGUUGGUCGGCUUGCAACUGUGGGCACCGAAAAACACACACCCCAGUUGCAAGUUGCAUGUAAAAAGUGACAAAGACACACACCCCGUUUGUCGGAGGCAAUAUGAGGGUUAAGGAUGGGCAUACAACUAGGUCGACCGAGUGGCAUGUCAAGAGUGGACAUGAAACUGGGUCGGUGUCAUGCAAGUUAUGUGGGCGAGGUUGAUCGUGCAGUUCCAUGUUUGAUGGUGCACGUGCAAUGACAAACACUUACAUAUGUACAAAACAAAGUUGUAAUCCUAUUGAAGACAUGCAGUUGCAGCCAAGGAUGAUGCUUGAAGUUGUGUGUAUAGCUAGUAGGAGACACGCAAAUGCCCUCUCGAGAAAGCACUUUCAUCCUUUAAGUAGCAAUCACAUUGAAGAUGAGCGAACUUGCACUUGUUGUGUGGUGAUGGACAUGCAAUUGACACUGAUAAAAAAUUCAUGAGUUUAAAAAAUAUUAAUUUACAUUGCAGAAAUGAAAAACAAGAAAACAAUAAAGGAAAACAAAAACCAAAAAAUAGAAAACUGAAUAAAAACAAAUAAUGUUGCAUGUUGUUUACAUUGACAAACUGAACAAAAAAAUAGAAAACUGAACAAAAACGAACUGGGGACCAAAUCCAAGUUGCAUGUCGAGGGCGGAGUUGCAACUGGGACAAAAGGGCCGCCUCCCCCAGGUAGUUGUGUGUCGAGGGUGGACUUGCAAUUAGGACGAAUAAUGAGUCAGGCCCAAUGUAUCACGUGUGUAUUCGCAACUAGGGAAAAAAGGUUAGGCCCCCAAUUGCGUGACAAGAGUGGACUUGCAACUGGGAUGAAUAAUUGGCCAGGCCUCGUUACACGUUGCAGUGAAGUUGAAAUUGGGACAAAACUAGACCGGACCCCCAGUUGCAUGUCGAGGGUAAACCUGUAAUUGAAAAAAAAAAUAUGGGCCGGGCCCGGUUGCAUGUCGGGGAUGAACUUGCAAUUAGGACAGAAAAAGAGUCAGACCUAGUUGUAUUAUGAUUCUAUGGAAAACCCCAUUUACACCUUUGAAAUCAUUCGAGUUUAAUACUCAAUGACAAACCAGCCAUAAAAAUGUUUUUUCUCAACAUAGAAGCACAAAGAAAAUUCAAUGCAAAAGUUCUUCCUCAAGAUAUAUGCACAACAAGAGAAACAACUAUCUACAAAAAACAAUGUAAAACAAUGUUGAAAACACGCGAUACGAAUUUAUGGGGGCAUGCGCAAGGGUAGCACACUGUCACGCAUACCACACAAACUUCAAAAGAACUCAUGCCCAACAAAAAAGUAUGAAAAGACAUGGACAUGCCCGGUUCAUGGUCCGACAAACAAGACAAUAUACGAAAGCAAACAUGGCACAUGUUGGGCAUAGCACGAAUCUUAGCAGGGUCAUCCAAUGGUGGGAAACUAGAAUGUGCAAUUGAUAAAUCUCAUCUAGAUGAGAAUUAGCAAAUCACAAAAAGAAAAAUCACAACUCGCAACAACACAGUGAUACAACACACACGACCAGAGGUACACAAACACGAAAUGCGGCUCAUUAGGGGGACAAGCAACUGAGGUAGAAAAGAAAGUCGGGCCCACUUGUGAGCCAAAGGGUGGAUUGUAAACUGGGGCAAAAAUGAUCAAAGAGCUCAGUUGCAUAUCAAUGGUAGAUUUGCAACUAGCAAAAAAAAUUGCCAGCCUAGUCGCGAGUUGAUGAUGGAUUUGCAACAAGGAUAAAAUGGAGUCGACCUCAGUUGUGAGACGAUGGUCAACUGUAAUUGGAUUAAAAGAAUCGGUUGCGAGUCAGGGGUGUACUUGCAGCAGGGACAAAAAAGAUCACCCGCACAGUUGCAUGUUAGUGAUGGACUUGCAACUGGGACGAAAAAAAGGAUCAGACCCAAUUGCGAGUCGUUGGUUGACUUGCAACUUCGGCAAAAAAACAACGAUCAAAAGCCUAGUUAUAAGUUGACCCAAUUGCAAGUUGUUGGUUGACUUUCAACAGGAUAAUAAGUAAGGGGUAGGCCUAUUUGCGAGUCACGGGUUGACUUGCAAACUGGUACAAAAAAGUUAGCCCCUAGUUGCGAGUGGAUGGUGGACUUGCAGUUGAGGCAAAAAAAAGUCAGACCUAGUUACAAGUUGAGGGUGGAUUUGCAACUAAUGCAAAAAAGGAGAGUUGGGACGAGUUAUGAUACAAAUGACAUAACGAGCCCAGUUGCGAAUCGAGGGUUGACUUGCAAUUGGGUCAAAAAACGUCGGGCCUAGUUGCAAGUCAAGAUCAAGAGCUGAGUUGCAUGCCAAUGCUGGACUUACAACCAGAAAAAAAUGGUCACACAUAGUUGCGCGUCAUUGGUUGACUUGCAAUUGCAACAAAAAAAACCAAGUGUCCAGUUGUGAGUCGAUGGUUGACUUGCAACUGAGAGAAAAAAAAUUGGACCCCUAGUUGCUAGUUGAUGGUGGACUUGUAACUGAGUCUAAAGAGUCAGGCAUAGUUGCAUGAUGAGUGGACUCGCAACUAAUGCAAAAAAAAGGACAAAAAAUACAUGAAAAUUGCCAGAAAAAACAAAAAUAGAGGUUGAACAAAAAUGGCCUAACAAAAACCGUCCAACAACUAGACAUCGCGACGACAUGUGAUGUGUGCGACAAAAAAGAAGCAGGCCCAAAUUUGCGGAAAAGAUUACAGCAAAUAAAUUGAACGAGCGAUAACUUAGAUAAGACAUUGUUAAAAUCUUCAUGAAAUUUAGCAAAUCCGAUUUCAAAACCGUUCAAAUAUUUUUAAAAUGUUUAUGAAUUUUAGAAAACAUUUUUUUCUGAAACUGUCCACAAAAAAAUAGUAAAUUUUGUUAAGUGUCCGCCCACUUCAAAAAGUGCCUUACAUGCAAGAUCAUGAAUUAUAAAAUAAAAAAAGAGAAAAUCUAAAGUGGAAGAAUAAAAGCGAGACAACAAGAAGUGAGAUGCGGAAUGUAUGGACGAUAGAAACCAAUAGCCUCGUUGAAUUGUUACAACGCAGUCAGAAAAGACUAAAGCAACAACGAACCGUGCAACGUGCGGCCGGACAAAAAAAACAAGCAACGAUCGAGUGACAGCUAUGUGUGCGAGCGACGCGGGACACGCCAGCUGGACGCAAAUCAACCUUGAACGAUAAUUACAGCAGAAUAGAUCUAACGGUUAAAAACUUAGAUGUGACAUACUUAAAAAACAUCUAAAUAUAUGUUAGCAAUUCCGAUAAAUAUAAGGCCAUGAACUUGUAACCUUACGUUCUUGGUGACGAGGAUUGUUUGCCGUGUUGGCGACUGAAACUAUUAAUAACAGACAAAAAAAAUCGAACAGCCCGAGAAGUUCGGUGAGGCAGCCCAACUUGUAAUUUUUUUGUACACAUUAAAUAACUAGAGGAUCAAAUUCGUUUAGACAUUUUCGUUGCACCACAGAAAUAUCCGAAAACUUCUAGGCACUGUUAGUACGAAAGUUCUUUUGACUUGCAAAGUUUAAAGUAUGGUCGAUAUAAGUCAAACUAUGGCCAAAUUGCGAAGGAAAUUCGCACGCGCGCUCACUGGACUCACACAGUAUUAUACUCAAGAAGCUGGAUCAUAGCCAAAAUACAGUAACUCAUGUGCUUGCUUUCACCCAUAUAAAGGAAAAUUUCAAGAAUGGUGUGCCACAUAGGAUAAACAAUUUUUUUCCAGGUGAAGAUAGUGAACUAGCACGGAUCUUGAUGCAAAGUCGGAAAAUUAAUCUUGUUAGAGGGUACAACUACAUGGUGCUUCAAGAAAAAUCUACUCUCACUUUUCCACAUAUUUUUGGUAACAGGCACAUUUAUUUUCAUGUUCCUCAAACAACAAAAUAUAAAAGAGGGACAGGGGGAGAAAAAUAAACUACUAGUACUGCGAUGACCAUUGCAGUAACAUGCUUACAAAUAAUCUGUACUACUUUAUAAAUAAAUUGAUCAGAUAGCUCAUAACAAGUCAUAAUCGAUGUGCCUUAGAAAUUAUUGAUCUAUCACCGAGAGAUAAAUACAGAAAAACAAAAACAAAUCAUCACCAACGAAACAAUUCAACCAAACACAUCAUCAGAGCUCAAGUUUUUCACCCUUUCAGGUCAGCAUGAAAAAUAUUCAAUCAACUCUACCACGGGGAUCCCGCAACCGCUUACCAAGCGCCCGCCCUUCGAGUCAGCACAUAAGGAAAAAUAUCUGCAAGGGCAAAUUAGCCCUAUAAAAAGCGUGAUAAGUAUUUUACCACCAAAGCAUCAAAACAAAUUUGAAUGACAUAGCCAGAAGAAGAUUUAUGAUCAACAUGAUUCCAUUUCUUUGAUAAGAAACUAGCCUACUUUUCUCAUCUUAGUUUUUCCACAUCACUAUAAAUAUAUUCUUCAUUGAAAUAAGUGUAUACAUUCGGACUCUUGAUAGAAUGAUGCAAGCAACCCAUUUAUUGUGAAGUUUUUAAUUCGGUAUCGAAGUUGAUUUUUUUGAUAAGAAUAGGGCCUCAGUGGAAAAUUGAAUAAGACUACAACAAUGACCACACUAGUGUAUCACUUCCUCCCCGAAGGUGUUAUCUGACAACGUCUUUGGCUCGUGCAAACUAGAGAUGGGGAAUUUGAGUUGAGGAGUUAGGAGAUUAAAAGCCCUUUGAUUGAUUAUAGGUAAUGAGAGUUUAAGUUGGCAGGGGAAUGGGAGUUGAGGGAGCCGAUUCCCAAUUUCUUUCCAUGGGGUACCAUGUUAAUUCGUGAACAGUGGUCCAUGAUAGACUAAUUCCCAUAAUAUACCAAGCAAGGAAAUUAAUGGGAGUAAAAAUCUACUUCCACUCCUAAUCCCAACACAAACUCCCACCCCGGCCCCUACCCCAAUGGUUACCGAACAGGAUGUGAAAAUUGUGCUUUUGCAUUCACUAGUUCGAGGGCAAUCCUUUUAUUUCUUCCAUUGUCUGGUGAAAAAAUCUCUUAAUAAUGUCUAUAUUAAUAGAUUGCCCACACAAUUGAGAAAGCAAAGGACUGGUAGAUUUUUUAUAGGAGGAACCUCUGCUUCGUGACUAUGACUAGGAGACUCUUGACUUAGUAGGUAUAUACUACAAGAGAAAAGAAGUCCUGAUUUCCGUGACUCCUUUUGUCCCUCAUCCAAUGUCGUCAAGCUGCAUUUUCAAAGGUGCCCUUGUCGACGGAUAUCGAUGGCAGACUUUGACCAUGAACUAGUGUAUAUCUAGAUGGUUGAGCCUCCAAGACAAAGAAAAGAGCGUAACCAUCGCCAAUGUAGUACAAUACCACUAACGUUCCCUACAUAUGAUAUAACUCAGGAGAACAACUUAAGGUAUGUGCCGCGUUACAGAACAUGAAGCACUUGCUAGCACAGUCGUAAAAUUUAUUCCGUAUAUUGUGAUCUUGUCACAUAUUUGUUUUCCAAAUAAUCCCUUUAUUCAAUUUUAUUUUUAUGAUUUUCUAAACAAAAACACUACAAUAACUAUGAUGCUACACUGUGAAUUUUGACUAUUUACAUGUUCAGUUCCUACAGAACCUGAAUGGAUCAAAGCACAAUCUUCUGAGAUGAAACUGCAUAACAUCGUUGUUGAGCCAGCUAUUUCCAACUAUGUAUAAGUAGUCGUUAACAUAAUGUGAAGCUGAUGUGAGACAUAUUAUUUCUACGUAUAUUCUUUUUUCCUUCUACAAUAUGGUUUUAAUUUGGUUUUCUGUCCGGUUUCUUUCAGUCUUAUAGGAAUGAAUUUACAGACGACUCACAUAAUGAUUUAACAUGCAACGGUUGGGUGGCAUGCCACAAAGCCAUGCCCAAAAUCUAGUACUACCUCCUAUCCAAAUUAAUUGACAGAACCUUAAUAUAACUUUAGUUUAAAGUUAUACUAAAGCUACACCAAUUAAUUUGGAUUGGAGGGAGUAUAAGGUAUAUUAUGGCCUAUACAUUAUUAUAGUUCUAAGUUUGUAGUGAAGUACGCCCUAUUUUAGAGUUUGGCACACGACUUCUGAUUUUGCCAGCUUACCUGCUAAUGCAACCUGCCUGACCGGGAGACUCUUGACUUCGUAGGUCUAGUCUAUACAAGACAAAACAACAAGAGCUUUCCACAACUAGUGUGCCGCAAAUUUCUUGUCCUCAAACUGCAUUUUCCACACGACAGAUUUUGACCAUGAACUAGAGCAAGCAUUCAUAUCUGCACGGUCAAGUCUCCAUGACCAAGAAGAGAGCGCAAGUGCGUAGCCAUCCCCGGUGUAGUCUAGUACCACUACUGCUAGUACCGUUCCCUAUUUAACAUAUGGCCCACAAAGUGAACAACGUACGCACUGAGAAGCCGGCCAGAUGAAUAUGCACCGUUCUUCUUCCCUCGCAUUAGCUAUGGCGUUCCUAGCUAUCGUUUACUGUUUCAUGCCGCCGCCAUGCUCAGCAGCGUUCCAAGAAGGUGCGUAAAGAACUGUGUGCAUGCCAUUUUUGUAAGGGAAUUUCUAAAAUUAGGCGGCCGGAAUGAUGAUUGAUCAUGUUCAUAGGUGUAGCUGUUCUGGACGGAUCCCGUAUCAAUGGACCUCCGUCGCCGCGGUACGGGCCGCCGAGGCAGCCAGGCUAUGAGCCCCCGGCCGCUGCUGCCACUUCUGCCACAGCGUAAGACCGUGUAGGCGGCUGCUAAGGCCCCUCACGCAUAAAGUAGACCGGAAAUCAGAGUGUAUACAGUGGUAAAUAAAAUCCGGAUGAUUUGUGAUAUUAAUAAUUAGUUGUGAAAGUUAUGAAUAAAGCCACGUUGUUAUGUGCGUAUGAAUAAGCUAUCAGUCAUAUAGGAUAACAAGUUUACGAUGAAUUGCAUUGAAAAUCCUUAUAUUUCCAAUUACAUAAAGAAAAAAACAAAUAAAAGAUGAGGAGAAUACUAACGAAUGGGAAGAGACUUCCCAGUAUUCUCCUAUUAUUUCUUAUGAUGAAUCAGGUAACCAGGAGGAGCCUUCUAUUCAACCAAUCUCAUUAAUAAGGAGCUCCAAAAGAGGAUUGAACCCACACAUGUGAAGGAAAUAUGCCCUAGAGGCAAUAAUAAUUAGUUGUGAAAGUUAUGAAUAAAGCUACGUUGUUAUGUUCGUAUGAAUAAGCUAUCAGUCAUAUAGGAUAACAAGUGUGUGAUUGACUUGUCCGUGCACUAUAGCCGAAUCAUCUGUACAUUCUCCCGUGUAUAAAGGAAAAAGCCUUCACCUAGCCCAGAUCAACCAUUUUAUUACUGAACUAAGAUCAAGACCGUGUCACUUGCUUCUAUUCACAAUCACGUCGGUUGCUUCUAUUCACAAUCUAAAAUGCAUGAAUUUAGAAGAAGAAAAGAUCCACCAUUUUGGCAACUCUUCAUACAAUUUCCUCAGAAUGUCAUGCAUGGAUGGCUCCCAUGUGCAUGGUCUUUCAAAGUUAAAAACACUAAGAAGAAAAUACAAAACUAAAUUUUUUUAUUUAUAAUUUAAGUAGAAAUUGUUUUGAAAACGAGUUCCAUUUUUCGUUCCUGAAGAAAAAAUAAAUAGUGUUACAAGAUUACGGCAUUGAACACACCGUCACCUGCACAAAUAAAUAAGAAAAUCCAGGGGCCAACAAAUUAAAUUGAAUAAAUAUCAGAAAAAUCUAAGACAUAAUGAAGCAAAAACAAGAACAUAACUAAUUUUCUAAGGCAGCAUAAAUCAAGGUCAUUGGUGUUACCUAAAAGGAAAAAUAAAAUAAAAAAUAAACUUAAAGCAAAUCAUGACGAAAAUACGCAUACAAAUAUCAUAGAACUUGCACCGUUCCAUAAUAUGAAAAAACAGGCAUAUAUUAUGUACUUAUCUUUGUCAUGCCUUGUUUUGUGUUAAAAAUGAAAAAUAAAUCAUAAAAAUAGAAAUGUUAUCCUGAAGUGUGAAUUUUAGCGCAUUGCUAUUACCCUGAAUGAAGAAAUAAAUUGAGAAAAUAAAUUUAAAAUAAAUAGUGACGAGAUACUCUCACACAAAAUGCAUAUAACUUGCACUGAUCCACAAUAUGCAAAAAAAAUAUGAUAUAGUAGGGUACCUAGCAUAUAUGUACUUCCAUGUUAUACUAUGUCAAACAACAAAAUAAGAAUGUUGGCGUUUAUUCGUCUCUCGACCAGUUAAAAUUGGUUGGCAUUUCAUAUCAAUUGUGGUUCCUUCUCUCUCUCUCUCUCUCUCUCUCUCUCUCUCUCUCUCUCUCUCUCUCUCUCUCUCUCUCUCUCUCUUUCUCUGCGCACACACACAACACAUACACACAAGCACUUGUUUUUUUAGGGAAUCUUAAAAUAAAUUGAUUGAUCAGGCCAGGCCUUUGUGUGUGGACUGUGGGCAUGCUCCAGCGAGACAAUAACCUUUUAUUAUUCGCAAAAAGAAAGACAGUAACCUUUUACGUGGGCUGUUCCAAGCUAGUGAAAUGAAAAAAAAAAAUAGAACAAACGGAGCCUUUUACAUGGGCUGUUCCAAACAAGCGAAAAUUUUUGGAACAAACUGAACCUUUUUAUAUGGGCUGCUACUGGCUUGAGAAAAAAGUUUCGACUCAAACAAUACUUGUUUUGAGGCACCUGACCAUUAGCAAAACCGGCAGAAAAAACAUGCUGUGGGAAAUUCAACUGAAAAAACAAGUAUUGUAAUAAGCUAGCAAUUCGAAGAAACUCUUAUCUUUUUUUCUGUGGUGCCGACAAGCUGCAUGAUAGGUAUAGCCGAUAGUGUUGACUCCUUGGUCCAUACAAGACGAGAGAGGAAUAUCUUUCCAACAGUACACGCCACCAAUUAUUUCUUCUCAAGCUAAAAUUUGGGAAGUUGCCCUGCCUGUUGACCCCAGGGAAGACUUUGACCAUACAUAAGUCUCCGAGACCAAUAAUAUAGACUAGUAAUCGUCACUGUAGUCAGAGUGCGCGUAGGAAGUUGUAUUGGCGUUACCUAUAAAACAAGACAUGCAUGCUCAGAGAGAACACACAUGAGAAGCUGUGACAGGAAGGAGAACGCAUCAUGAAGCGUUCCACUUCCACUUCAACUCCAUCUUCGUCCUUGGUACGCAGCGUUGUGAUCCUUGCUCUGAUAUGCUGUUCCCACGUCGUCAUCAUGUGUGUAUUGUGCAUGCAGCACGUAUUUAUGUUUGGGGUGAGGAUUGAUGGUUCAUGCUCAUGCAUAUGCACGCAGUUGCUCUUGACGGAAGCCAUGAGCCAACGAGUCCUCCGCCGCCGGUGCCAGGUCCCCAGAUGUCUCCGUCUCCAGUUCCAAUGCCUCCGGUCCAUCCUCCGCCGCCACCGCCGCCCAUGCCGGAGAUGUCAGCACUGGCGCCGCACCGCAAGACCCUGCAGCAAGCUGUCAGGGACGCCAUUUAAUUAUGCAUGAAACAGUGCUGCUCAUAUAUUAUUUUCGUCUAUGUAUGAUCUAUCAUGGUCCUAAGUAAUUGAGACGAUAAAUAAUGAUAUUAGCGUACAUAUGUACUCUCUUCAUUUUUUUUACUUCACGUAUAAAAUUUGGUCAAAGUCAAACUAUACAAAGUUUGACCAAAUUUAUAUAAAAGAAUUAUGAAUAUCUGCAAUA